RNAcentral lists this long non-coding RNA (50915 nucleotides) under Triticum aestivum (bread wheat). RNAcentral's name for it is "long non-coding RNA (TAES_LNC014061)". Lineage: Eukaryota; Viridiplantae; Streptophyta; Magnoliopsida; Poales; Poaceae. The record is from RNAcentral.
AAAGGACAGACGAUCCCUAGCAUGUAUUGUAUAUAGGUUAUUUUGUUGGGCCUGUGUCAUCUAUGAGGUCUAGCUUUUUCUUUUUCUGUCUAAUGACUUUUGUUGUAAACUGCUAGUCUCAGCUCUGUGGAUCUUUCUUUUAUGCUGAUUAGUUAAAUUAUAUGGAAAUGAAGAAAGUCCAUGCCAUCGUUCUUCUUCCUCAAAACCAGCUUCAUUUUAAUUGUUACCAUUUGAACUUUUGCAAAGUGGCAAGGACAUACCAAGCAAUAAUUAGGAUAGUAAUAGUUGGAAGGUGGAGUACAAAAACUAUUGACAUGAACUGAAUUUGAGCCCCAAAUAUGUGUAUCAUUUCUAGAUAUUUAUCCAUGGCUGGUUUAAUGAAUAUGAAUAUUAUUUCAUGAUGAAAUCAUUUGAUUUAUCAAUGGACUAUGUGGUCAUUAAGGACUGGUGGUCCAGGUUUGGGAGCAAAUGGUCUUGUUACACGGUAACUACAUCGUAUGUUGCCUGAAAAUAAUGCAGAGUUGGUACUGCAAGCUAGUUGAGCUCAUUAUGUCUCUGUCUCGUCGUAGCCUCGCACUGCUCUCAACAGGCCCCCAAUUAAUCUAGCUUAGUGCUGCAAAUAACCAGGGCCCAUUGUUCAAUUGCUAGCCAUUCCCAAGCGAGGCAUGUGUACGGUCCGUUUUCGCCCCUUUGCUGUUGUUGCUCCUGUUUAUUCUGUACCCUGUACAUAAUGCACUUGCUGAAGUUGAUAAACUUGCACAUCACACCAACUGCUUACCACGACAAAUGCUUAAAUAGACAAAACGUGUGGAUUGGCUGUACAUUAACUUUGAGAGGAAUGCCAGCUAAGAGAAGUUCUUUUUAUCUGCAACUGUGAGGGCAGAAGAGAAAAACAUCUUCCAUUAAUAUAUCACCAACGUAUCUUCAACAAGUAAAAAGUACAGCACAGGAAAAAAGACCGCACCUUGUUGGAACUAUGUUUCUUUGUGGUCAAUUAUAGGAAUGUGUCCAGUCAAGACCUUAACUUAGCAACAAAGAAGAAGGGGCCCCCCCCAGAAAUAAAAAUGGAUUGAUGGCAAAAGUAUGUAAACCCUAGUUCUGCUUUACCUUGUCAAAGUGCAAGGACCUUACCAGAUCUCCAUUGUUUUAGCAAGCUAUUCUCCUGAUGGAAGGUAAAGAAAUCUUCUCUUAUCUGUCCAGUGACAACUCACAGAUGUUAGCUAAGCCAAGAGACGAUUGGCUAUUAGAUUGUUCAAAUCACUAGAGGGUGUGUUUUUGUGCUUACUUGUGAAUGUGACAUUGCCCAUUGAGUGAUCCAUCAGAUGAUUCGGAAAGGCCUGUACCGAGAUAUACAUUCCAUUGAACAUUGUGUUUGCUGUACCUAAUGCCGUUUGCCCAUACUUAUGACUGCGAAAUGGCGUCUUAAUGUACCUAAUGUCCUCUGCUGCCCAUUCUCGUGACUGCGAAAUCGCGGUUCGAUGUUUACAAGAUAUCCACCCUUGAGUGAGGCGCGUGCAUAUCCGGUGCGGUAAGCAGCCCCUAUUCUAUGCAAUGAAGGUGAUGUGGCUCUUUUUUUAAACCGCAAUUAACAAGACAUGACGGUGAACGCCGUACUAAUAUAAACCACCGGUUGGUUACCUUUGUAUAAUUUCAGAAUCAAAGUGUGCCCUUUCCAUUCAAAACUUCUUGUUUAGUGCUCCACUACAGAUCAUCCUAUCCUUUUCCAAAAAAAAAAGAUCAUCCUAGUGUAUAAUAAGUACUGGUGAGAGCAGAAUCUGCAUUUGGUAGGACUUGAGCAUAUAGUACAAUGCUCUGUUGUCAAACUUCCUUUUUCCCUGCCAGCUUCUUUAGAAAGAAACAUGACAGGGUGAAGACAGAGUUGGGUGAAGAAAUGGCUACCUUCUCUGCAUUUGUCAUUGCCCUUUAGGAGAAAAAUACUACUCUGAACUAAAACCACGAUAUUUGUUAUAGAUCGUUGGAAGUAAUUAGUAUGCGUAGUUCUAACUGAAGAGUAUUUUCUAAAAGGAAAAUAUUUGUGUUGCUAACUAAAGGGGUCUAGCUGCUGAGAAUAUGUUAUAUGGAGUAUAAACUAGGAGACAGUAGGUCACUGUCACCCUAUAAAUAUCUAGUGUCAGUGACCACACAGUUAGGUUCCGGUGGGCUCCUGUAUUUAGACCAGAAACCAAUAGUCGUCGUCUCAUAGAUGAAGACAAGCACGGACUGCCGUUAACCUGUCAUGAUUAACCCCCAUAACAACCAUCGUCUAUUAACUGGAGUACGUCCUGAACUAACCAUCCGAUUGUACCAACUGUUGCUGUUGCGAUGUGAGGGUAACAUUUUGGGCUGUUUUUGGCAUCGCGGCAGUAGCAUUAAAAGGUACUUUCAUCUCUCUAAAAUAUUACCAGUACUUGUUUUUCUUUUCUUUUGCGUAUCAUAUUACCAGUAGUACUUGUGUAGCACUCUCCUUCGGAGUAACUAACUGGAUUCCACUUUCUCGAACGGAAACAAACUUACUCUCUCCGACCAUCUUAUUCGUCGCUUGGACCAGAGGGUUCAGUGACAGAGUAGUAGAUUUGAUAGUUCAGUAACCACAAACUAAACUUUGUUAUAUUACUCAACCCGCGCGGUGGACCCUGACAAGGGCCGGCGACAUGGCUCCGAUUUUAAUUGUUUCUUUCCGUUUUGUUAAGGUUUGUGUCUUGUUCAGGAAGGCGAGAUGGCGACGGCUCCCUGAAGAUGGAAUAAAGGUCUCCUUGUCUAGCUCUCGUUCUGGCGGUGCGUCUAGCAUCGUUGGUGGGUGUGUGGAGGUGUGUCUUCGGUGAAUCUAUGUUUGAUCGAUUUGCUUGGAUCUUGUCGUUAUUCGUCUACAUUCGUGUAUCUUUGGGUUGGAUCCUUCAUAUCUAUGCUAUUCUUCAUCGGCGGCAGUUGCUGUUGUGGUGCGCUGGUCUUAUGGAGUCUUAGCACGAGGACUUUCCGACUGUCUACUACAAUAAGUUGUGCCCAACUCCAACGAUUGAGGGGUGAUGACGGCGGCGCGCCUUCGGCUUGCUUCAGUGCUUGUAGUCGUCGCUAGGUGGUCUACGAAUCUGGAUGUAAUUCUUAUUAUUUUUUAUGUUCGUUGUACUGACAUGAUUGAAGAUAAAUAAAUGGGAGUUUUCUUAAAAGAAAAAAAGAUCGUGGUCUUCUUUUUGUCGAUGAAACACAUCAAUGAUCGGAGUAGAAACAAACUUGAAAAGCAGCACCAUUUGGAGUACAGAAAAUUAAUGUGCUUCCUGCAGGAACUGAAGAUGCAAGAUCCACCGCUUUUCAAGCAGUGACGUCUACAUCGACAACUCAAUGCAGUGGGGGAGUGGAGUGAAGUCCUGUACGUGCCUCCUCGUGCAAUUUAUCAGUACAAGUGAUUGACACGUCGAGCUGUGUAAGGGUACAAGUGAUUGACACGUCGUGCUGUGUAGGGCAGCUACUUGGAGCACAGUGUACUUCCGGACGAGGCCCUCCCUGUGUUAAUAAGGUCAGAGUCGGGCCGGGCGGACCCAGGCCAGCAAACCCUAGUUAACCAACCUAUUCGGGUGCCAUUAACUAGUGCACCCAUGACCGACGAUGACAUCGCCAGGCAAACCCACUUCCAACGUACGUACGUACUAGGUACUACGGUCCAAGGUACGUACUAUACCACGGUCCAAGGUGAACAGAAAGUGAUCGAGUAAUUAGCCGCCCCUAAGUCUUUAUGCUAUCAUCAGUGUCGCACAUUUCUGGAAGAAUAAAAACACCUUGGCUGCUUAUUCUUAAUACAACAGCACGCAAGUCUUGCAUGUUCUGAAGGAAAAGAAUGCCACACAUUUCUGGCAUUGUCUUGUUGGAGAGACCCGAGCAACCCGAAUAGUACUACCUUUCCUAUUAGAAAUGUUUUAGCCAGCACUUUGGGCUUUGGACAGAGUGGCGUCACGUGCUCGAUUUCUACAGUCGUUGUAGUGUUUGGACUGAGUUUAUACAAUAACGUCGAAAGUGGGAUGGAGCGCAAAGCUCUUUGUACGCUCUUCCACCAAGCUUAGCACCCGAUCCAUCUAUCUUUCAUCGCAUGCACCGAAUGCUGCCCGAGGUACGUCGAUAGAUCGAUCCAUCUUUGCUCACGGACGGACAGGUUGGUUGGACGUCGGUGGGCGGCGAGCCAUGUGUUGCAUUGCAUGUAGUAUCCAUUGGAGCCAUCGCCAUCGCCCACCCACAAUUCUGUUCCGGCAAAUGAGCGGCCGAACAUUGCGCCCAGUCUAGCUACGACGAAGAGGCACGGCCCGGCCAUUGAUUCGUCGCCUGCUCCUCCGUUAGCAGCGUAAAGGUCACUAUAGUUAGCACCCCUUCAUUGCCCUCAAUAAUGGGGCUAAUAGUACCGUACCGUGCUUAAUUAGCACCCAGAGGCGCAGCACCGCUGAUCCAGCAGUAAUGGUGCGCCUCAAAGAUAGCAGCCGGCCACCGCUUUUGGUUUGCGAGGCAUAUCCUUUCUCGUCGUCCAAGGUUGUGGCCUUGUGGGUGGAUGAAACAACGCACAUUCUUUUUUAAAUAGUUUGAAUUGCUUAUCACAUGUACAAUGUGGUGAAACAAUGCAGAUUCUGUACUACCUGCUUUUCUACUCCAUUUUUUUCCAGUUCAAUAUACACCUGGUUGUUAAUAUUCCCUCCGUUCCAAAGUCAAACUUAGCAAAUUUCGACCAAUUUUAUAGAUAAAACUAUCAAUAUCUAGAAUACCAACCAUUAUGAACGAAGGGAGUACUGCCGUUAUUUAGUCCUGCGUGGACACCAUCGAUCUUUGAAUUCGAAAAGGAAAACUGCUUCAGAGUGUCUCGCUCCAUUUCUAAUUGCUCAAUAAUCUGUUAGAUAACACCACAAAAAAAUCUGUUAGUUAAAAGCUUUUGUUUUCAGUUGAUAUUUUCAUUCAAAAUGUUGGUUCCACUACUAAUUACUUGGCAAUUUCAUAGCUAAAGUUAUGUUCUUAUUUUGAUACUUUUCCUGAUUUCUUUCUUCAAAAUACCUGGUUAUAUUUCUAACUGCACAAUAAAAUUCUAAUGAAAACUUACAUUUUUCUUGAUAUAUUUCAUAUUUUCCUUUACAAUCAAAUUCCAUUUCUAAUUGAUCGAUAAUUUGUUGGCUAAUAUUAUGUUUUUCUUUUGAUAUAUUUUAUUCUUUUUUUAAACUGGGCAAAAGAGUUGCCACUUUCAUUGAAUAAGGAGGUUUAGAGUUUUGACCAUAGGCCCAAUUACAGCACAUUACUCUCGCGGCAUCACAUUACUCAAAAAAAUUGCUUCCGCAAGACACCACAACUUGAGUUGGACAGGUUGUUCAAUGAAAAGUCAGCACUGCUUGACCAUUGGGCGCCUGAGUGUGAGCCCCCCGCUUCCUCCUGCGUGCCCUCCCGUCUGCAAUUUUGGGCUCUUCAAUGGAAGGACGCCAUGAUCACGGAUGAGAAGAUGAGAAGAAAGGGUCAAUCCAGUCGGCAUGGGAGUUGGGACGACAAGGGUGUGUGACUCUCCGUAGCAAAUCAAGGCUUUCGGUGGUGCACUCCGUGUCAAUCUAUCUGUCCGUGUGUGCCUUACCCAAGUGCCCAUGGCCGCUGCACGCGCCGCGCACACGACGCAACAGCUCCGGCCGGCCCUGGCGGUGCGGCGACCUCUUCUAUCUUCCUCCUCGCUAUCUAUCUAUCGGGCCAGUGAUCCAUCAUGAGUCCACAUACCACAUGGACCUAGCUAUCAUGCAGUACUCCUAUCUGCUUAAUCGCCACCCCGCAUGUGUGCAUGCAUGCCAUUUGCCAAUGUUCUUUGUUUCCAUUGUUUGAAAUACUACUACAUUCUCUACAUGUGUCCAGCGUCUUAAACUUUCUGGCUCAACUGCUGUCGAUAGUUCUCAAAGGCAAACUAGGCAUGGCAGGUAGGGAGAUGGCGCUGCAUCGCUAGGUUACGGUGAUAUUUGCAAUUACACUGCUUUUUGUACCCUGUGCCGUCGAGACUUGGUGGAUUCAGCACCCAAGGGCAUCUCCAACGCCGUUCUCUAAAACAGACAUAAUAUUUGUCUAUGAAGUUGUUUGGACCUGUCCAUGAACACAGAUGUGGGAGCCGGUCAUUUAACUGCAUCCCCUAAACGAUCAUCUAGGUCUGAUCGAUUGCAUUUCAAAUGCAUAGAUCAUAACGAAAAUAAGACAGAUGUUCAUAGUUUUUACAUGUGCUCGAUCACAAAAGUUUCAGUCCGGCGGCCCGUGCAAAAAAAGGCAUUUUCCCUUGCCAGACCGGUUGCCCGAGCCUUCUCACUCACUCUAUAGCCGGCUCCUCCUCACCAUCAGCCUUCUUCUCGGUCAUCAAGCGUUUCAACAUCUUGACACGGAUGGGCCCACGAUCAUCGAGGCAUGUCAUCCAACUCGUCCAUCUUCACUGUCAACAUUUUGGUAUCCUUCGAAACAGCUGCGAGCUCAACCCUCCUCUCUUUGAGUUUGCUCUUCUUCUUUUCUAAAUUGAUCUUUUUCUCGGUGACAGACAUCAAGAUGUUAAACCUUGCCUUCUGUUGCUCGUUCACGUCGGAACGCUUGACACAUGCCUCCUCCUUCCUCGCCAAAAAUGCACUCGAACCUCUUCACCAUCUUGUCCGCCACCCAUCUCCUCCUCCCACUUCUUUCCUCAGAACACCCUUAUAACUUUUUUGGGUGGCUCUUUUGUUGGGUUGGUUGGAUCAUCAAACGGCAGCGGCGGAAGUGAAGAGUGCGGCGGUGAUCGGAGCGGAGAGGGUGAGGGAAGGAGGGUUUUGGUGCAAAAACAGUGCAGACCGCUCCAUAUGCGCGGGCUCUGUCUCGGUUUGGGCCAGGGGUGUCGGAGUCCAACAUGGCGGAGGUUCAUACUCCCCAGCAAAGCCCGCGUAGCUUGCUUCCGAUUUGCAGGAAAACGGUCACUCGAACAUGUCCACGAACAAAUACGGGUCACCGUUGUAUGGCUUGCAGCGUCCGAACAACUCCGUCGAACGUUUGCAGCCGUUUUUAGAGUUCUUGUUGGAGAUGUUCCUAGGGACGUAGGAAAUGCACCUAAAUGCUUCUUCAUUUUAAUUUUGUUAACCGUGAGAUGCAGGUACGAUGAGUAAUGCUACACGUACAAACGAGUUACAAGGUUUUACAAAAAAGUGUGAAUUUGAUUGGUCAAUAGGUGGGGAGGCGGCCCACCCUCCCCUGAAAAUCAGGGGAGGGGGGGGGGGCAAGUUUGUGAUUGGUUAGUAGAUGGAAAAAAUCCUAGUCAGCAUGUAAUUGCGUGUAACUCUUUGUAUGUUUAGCAUUAUUGAGGUACAACAAUGUGUUUAUAUUUUACUACUACCUUUUUUUAUUAUAAGUUACAGAGCGAGUAGUGGACAAUAUAUAAGUACUACGUGCAUUUCCUUUUUUUCUUCUUUCGGACGAUAAAUAAGGUGAUCUCUCACGAUCAGCUGCGAGCAGUCAAGGACGGGGAAUGCACCAAAUGCUUUUUCAUUUUAUUUUUGUUGGACAACGAUAUUUGAUAACAGUGUGCCCGAUAGAAAAUUUAUCUUAUCUGUCGAUCACCCGCCAGCUAACCAGGUCGACCACCCCGCCAGCUAACCAGGCCGACCACCCAGCUAGCUAAUCAGGCCGAUUGCUGUACAAGGCCCAACAAAAAAUGCCAUCCCCUCACGACGCACUUUCCAGAUCGCAACUUUCCCCCACCCCCUUACCUCCCACGCAAGUAUACCCUCUCUCACCCUCCCCAUCGCCCACACGCCCCUCCCCACCACCCACCCGCCCCUCCCCCCUACACAGCUGCUCAAAAUCAACACCAAAGACCUACCCCUCCUCCAGAUCUGGAUCAAACAAGAGAAGACCAUCAGGGAAGCGGUGGAAAUUACCAGGGAUACGGCGAAGAAAUCACCAGGCAACAUCACCUCACCCUGGUAAGAAUCAAAGACUCAUCCAAAAUCUCCAAAAAAUUCUGCUUAAUACAAAGACUUACCCCACUGCCACCCCACCCCCUCCCAAUCUGUGCAAAAAUUACCAUCCUUUCACCUCUAUAAAACAGAAUAAGCAGACUUCUCUCAUAAUUUUGCCUACUGCAGUGACUUACCAAUCAACUAAUUACAAAAUUACCAGCCCCCCGUAGUUUUUGUUACCAACUUUAUGCAACAAAACAGAGUACCCAAAAAAAUACCACAUUCCCCUGCUACACUAAACACAGAUUUUGUGUUCUACCAUGGAAAAAUAAAGACAAAUAAAGGAGAGAGGACCCUUUAUUGACCACAAAAAUCAUUCUCUCAUACAAUGGAAGAUGCAUUGCAAAAAAGGUUCAUUUUUCAGUCUACAAGAAUGUUAUACUGCAUGAAGUAAACAAGUUAUCAAUCUGUACAUAGAAAAAGUUAUCAUCCAUUUUAGCUAAGUACUAACAUUGGAUAAAGAAAAGUGUUGCCUUUUAAUGGAGAUGCUCAUGUUGUACUGUAAAUUGUCCUGUUUAGUGUUCUUCCCAAUCACCCCUGCGAUUCUUGCCUUCAAACACCUGUGUAAAGAGUAAAACAAAACAAUGAGUUUCAAAAAAAGAGUGAACACGUGUAAAUGUGUACUAACGUGCAAACGUAAAAACAAAUCAAGCAGGAGUAGAUAAAUGGAUGCUAGCAGAGGAGAUAAUGCAGAGGAUGGAGGAGGGGGUAGAAUGCAUGAAGAAGGCGAUGCAGCGCGCACAACAAGCAGCAAUUCAGCAUACCCAAACAUUAUGGGGACAGAUAAAAUUACCAACAUUACUGUUUACAUAUCAUCAUGGAAUGAAAAACCCAAUCUUAUACUUUACUAUUGAAGUGGGUUUGAAAUUUACCAGCAUUGGUGCACACAUAUUACCAGGUCCAAAAAAUGCAAAUUAUCAGGGUUUUUUAGGCAUAAAGAAUACUUUACUAUUGAAGUGGGUUUGAAACUUACCAACAUUGGUGCACACAUAUUACCAUGUCCAUAGGAUGCAAAUUACCAGGGUUUUUUAGGCAGAAAAGAAUGCUUUAUUGUUGAAGUGGGUUUGUAAAUUACCAGCAUUGGUGCACUCAUAAUACCAGGUUCAGAGUAUGCAAAUUACCAGGGUUGUUUAGGCAGAAAAGAAAGAUACAUUCACUGAAUCUUCAGAAAACUACCAUGAUGGAAAACUGUUAUUUAUCAUGUAAUAUUCCACUAAAUCUACCAGGCCAAAUUGCAGGUGCUCGGGCAAUCAGCGCAAACAACAGCUUGCCCAGUGGUGGAACAAGUGCACAUAGUGCUGGAACAAAUGCAAGCACAGGAGCUGGGAGCCUUGGAGACCAGAUAAUAAACGAACCAGCAACUCCAGAAUCUGCUGGGAUCGAUGCUGAUAUGGAAGGCAGCAACAUGGAGGCAUAUUCCACACCUAAGCCACCUUUGCAAGGGACAAAAUUUGACACCCUGGAGAGCGCACGUGACCACUACAGCACCUACGCGCGUAGGACUGGCUUUGCAAUUAGGCAGUAAUUCAAGAAAGAGAGGGUUGAUGGAACUAUAAGCGGGGUGCUACUAGUUUGUACAAAAUAUGGCAAACGACGCAAGGAAAGGGAUGAGAUGCAAGAUGUGGAAAACCCAGCCAGCAUUGUCAAGAAGAGGAAAAAAAGAAAGUUGUUAGGACUGAAUGUGAAGCGCACAUGUACCUAUCCCACGAUGAUGCAUGGUGGACUGCUGACCGUUUCGAGGACACCCACAAUCACCCCCUGAUCAAAAAGCCUUCCCUAACAAAAUUCUUAUCAUCACAUCGAUACAUUCCGAAGGAGGAGCAGGACUUCUUGAGGGUUCUACACGGAUGCAACAUUGAGACUGCGAGGCAAAUGCAGCUGAUGUCAUGGUUCUACAGAAGCACUAAAGACGUACCCUACACGACACAAGACAUUGCUAAUCAACGAGCUAAGUUCCGCUUAGAGCACCGCCACAAGGACGUUGGGAGCACAAUUACAUACUUCCAAGAGAUGAGGGCCAAAGAUUCAUAUUUCUACUGGAGAAUCAAACUUGAUGAUGAGGACAGGGUUGAGAACUUGUUCUGGAUAGAUGGCGCAUCACGCAGGGCAUAUGCAAAGUAUAAUGACUGUUUGUCGUUUGACACGACAUACACGACAUACAUGUACAAGAUGCCAUGUGCACCAUUCAUUGGAAUUAAUAACCAUGGUCAAUCCAUCCAGUUUGGGUGUGGCUUCGUUCGAAAGGAAUAAAAGGAAAACUUUGUGUGGCUGUUUAACACAUUCCUCCAUGCAAUGGGUGGUGUUGCCCCUAAAAACAUCAUCACAGACCAGGACUUUGCAAUGAGGAGUGCGAUCGACGAGGUCUUCUUGAACAUAAUACACAGAAAUUGCCGCUGGCAUAUAAUGAAGAAGGCGCAGGAGAAACUUGGAAAACUUAUGGCUGAUGACAAACCACUAAACAGAGCGUUCAAAGACUGUGUCGACAACAGCUUGACUGAUACGUACCUAAUCUAUUGACGCAUUUUAAUUACCAUGCAGCAAACUUGAGAAGCCAUAUGAAUAUAUGUGAUGCACAAGUUACCAUGUGUGGGUCUACACAAGUUACCAUGAUCUUGUUGGCUAUAUUAUCAGGGGGCAGUUACAAAUGUUGAUACCAACUUGUGGUUUAGAAAAGUUACCAGAUCUAGAAAAACUGUUCAAUAAAGUUACCAUCUAACAACUAAGAAAAGUUAUCAGCAUACUUGUACUUUAAUUACCAAUGAUUGUGUAUGAUGUUGUAAUUGUCUCAUGUUUUGUGUAUCAUAGAGGAAGAGUUUGAAAACAAAUGGUGGGCAAUGAUGGAUGAAUAUGGCCAGAUCGAAAACAAACAUUUUCAAUGGCUGUGAGAAAAUAGGAAAUGUUGGGCCCUAGUGUACUACAUGAAGCAUUUCUUUCCAUUCUUGCAGACAACUGCAAGGAGCGAGGGAUUCAAUGCUGUGCUCAAGAAGUACGUGAACCCCAACAACUCAUUGAUUGAAUUCGCAACUCAAUACACUGCAAUCCAGGAGAAAGUAAUGGUGGCUGUGGCGAAAGAGCAAGUGGACACAAUUUACAAAGAGGCAGACAUGUAUUCGUUGAACCCAAUCGAGUUACAGAUGCGAGGGAUAUACACACAAAAUCUGUUCUCCAAGUUCCAGGUAGAGAUGAAGCUAAAGACUGCUUACGGAUGCGACACUUUGCAAGAUGGAACCUUCAGGAUGUGGUCGCUCCGAGGCAUACUACCAAAGUAUGGGGAUAGGGACUACCAUGUGCAGGCGAACAAGGAUGAAGGGGUAUACUCAUGCACUUGCUGCAAGUUUGAUUGCGAUGGGCUAUUAUGCGCACACAUACUACGAGUAAUGGAACAGAUUGGAGUCUACGAGAUACCAAGGAGGUAUAUCCUGGAUAGGUGGACAUGGGAUCCAGAAGAGGAUCUUGUUUAGCCUGAUUACCAACAGCCAACAGUUAAGAAGGGUAUGACAGAGGAAGGAAAAAAUAUCAUGAGAUAUACAUCUAUUCUGAAUGAUUUCAAGGAACAAGCAAAAGACGCUUGCACUACUGAUGAAGGGAUGGCAUUGGCAAGGAAACAUGUUAAUGCUUUCAGAGACGACAUGGAUGCACUAAAAAAGAGGCAGCUAAAGAAAGUAAGAAAGGAAAAAGAUGAGGGAAAAGAAGCACAAAUGUUUUGUUCACCACCAGGGACUAGUGCCACUGAAGGUGUCCCAGUAGCGCAUCAAGGAAGCAUUCCUGUCACGCAUGUGUCUGGCAAUAUUUUCCAGUUCCAGAGCUCACAUGCCGAGGGAUCCCAAUCAUCAAACACAAGAGUGAUACUAGACCCGGCGUCCGAGAGAGAAAAGAUUCCAGCACCCAUUUGACAUUGCAAAGCCCAAAAAAAGAGGAAGUGUAGAGUUUGCGGGUUGACAUAUCAUGAUAAAUGCAAAUGUACCUCACCCAUCCCGCACUGAGAAAUGCAAGUUAGAUGGGCAUUGAACUGCAAGUUAGAGAUUUUACUUAUCAAUUUUACCCAUUUUAUUGUGUAAAACGGUGUCGAGACACCAUGUAAUGAAAAGUUAUCAGCACUGAAACAUGUAAGUUAUCGUCCAGAAUGUAAUGGGGAUUUUCAGAAAUGAGAAUGAGAUUAGUUAUCGUUCUUUGUUUGUGAGCAAAAUGCUAUGACGCAAUGAAAAAUAAAGUUAUCAACACCUAUUAUAGUAUGUUAUCAGCAUUUACUAUCAUAAUUAUCAGCAAAAAAUGUAUAAAAAAAGAUAGUAAUCAGCCCAGAAAAAAAUGUAUAAAACUAUCAUCGUUCUUAAACAUAAAACUUAUAUUGGUGCAAAUUUCUCACAUCAAUUACUCCUUAUUGAACAAGUGAUAGCGCCAUUGCGUGCAUUUGUUAAGAGGAUGGUCCAGCCACAUUCUUGUCAAUAUCUUCCUCAGCGCCGGGAUCUGCUCCUUAGUUAUUGUUGAGAUAUUUUUACCAUCCCAGAACUCCAAGAUCUUGAACGCGAAGAAACCACAAUCAGUGCUGUAAGGAAAAAAAUAAAAAAUGUGUUAAAAAGCAAAAUAAGAUAAGCAAAAAGGUGAACGAACUUUUAAAAUGCUACACUACUAAGUUACCGGGUAUUUAGUUGAAAAAAAUGAUGGGGUACUAGCCAAAAAACUAACCCAUUGUCCUGUUUGAACACAUCGAUGUACACCAGAUCAUAGUCUUGGAUCUGCUUACUCGAGUCCUUGUACGCAAUCAACCAGGCUUUUUUAAUGCCAUUCAUAAGCUUCGUCGCAUGUGUGAUGAGCGAAGGGCUAUCUUGUGGACGAAGAGAAUCAAGAACUUCAAAUCGUUUUGCCUUGAGAUGAAGGCACAAGACAUACCAAUGCCCGUCCUUUGGUAGACGUCCCAAAUUUUGCAGUGUUGGAAAUAGUAGCUGUUAAAAAAUGUGAACACAUGAACACAAGAAGUUAUGAAGUUAUCAAUGCAUUUACAGUUAAAAAGGCAAAGUUAUCAGGACACUGACAACAUAUGUUACCAGUAGGCAUGCAUGAAAGUUACCACAGAAAGGAAAAAUGUGAACACAUGAACACAAGAAGUUAUCAAUGCAUUUACAGUUAAAAAGGCAAAGUUAUCAGGACACUGACAACAUAUGUUACCAGUAGGCAUACAUGAAAGUUACCACAGAAAAGUAACAUAACUAGGUACCAGCUAAAAUUCUUUAAUGGUACAAUGUCUGACAAAACCAAAAUAAGAGCCUGAUAAAAUUGCCUGUUAGACCAACUAAAAAACAACUUGUACGAUUUAAAAGAAGAAAAGUAUGUAGUUUACAUAAAAAAUUGUACCUGAUUGGUGACUAAGUAUGUAGUUUGCAUCACGACGGAAAUGUUGGAUUAGGAACUUGCUCGUCAUAUCAUGUAUGAGAAGAUAUACUGACAGCAACCAUGGAAAGAUGAUCUUCCCUGGGGGUACAGAAUCAGAAAGAGUUCGGAUGUGGAGCUCUGCAAUAUUAUUCGAAACUUGACCACCUUCUAUCACACUAUUAGCGAGCUCCUCCAAUGUGACCCACCGCCCAUCGAUGUCAAUAACCCUAAUACUGAAAAGCAAACAAAGAAAAAAAAUAGUAUAUAAGCAAAUGUUUUGCCGGUGAGGGGUUAAAAUACUAGAGAAAAGGAUAACAGUAAAUGUCAUUACUGUUUUAUCUUGGAGUCAACUGAAUCAGUGGUGUGCUUGAUAACUUCUGCGUAAAUAACCUCUUCGAGUGCAGAUGCUGUGAGGCCACAAUAUGGAGGCAGAAGGAACUACGAUGGGCGGCUUACCCUAACUUUCCGAAUGUACGAUUUAGGAGUCACACUAGCUAAAUGAUUACCAUAGGGAGGUUGAAUAACUGGUGUAGCAAAUUCAUGGCUGGUGGGGUGGUCUAGAAGAAAAGUGAAGGGAGUUAUCAGAGUUGGGAAUGAUGGAAAGAAAUAUUAUGGGGAAACAAAAAAGAAAAUAAGUUAUCAGAGUUUAGAACAGUAAAUUAUCAACAUGAAGAUAAUGAUGUUAUCAAGGUUGGCAAUAGGAAAAAGUUUGUUAAAUAAAAUCUUCCUAUUAGUGCCUUUUACAGAACCGUAAUUUGCUUUUGCUCUAACAGUGGCACGUUCGACUUCUUCAACCCACAUAUUACAUCAUCGUCUUCAACAUCCGCAUCAUAAACUCGAAAUCGACGGUCUUGAAAAAGUUGCGAUCAGGUCAGUUUGUGAACUGGCAAAAGGAAUGUCAAAUAUGUGGAAAAACAGCUAAAGAAGAAGGUGAUAGAUAGUACAGAAUGAUGAUAUAAUUACUGUAGAGAAAAAAAGGGAAGAAAAUGAGAGGGGUCAGGAUAGUUAAAGGGGCAGCAUAAAUGUAUUAGAAUGGUUUGUAUGUGCAUGCAGGGAAAGGAAGGGGAGGGGUGUAUUUACAGCAUCAAUAAAGGAAACAAAAGGGUUGGAGUUAUCAGCAUGGUGAUAGCAGAAGUUAUCAGGGUAUGAUCACAAAUGUUACCAUUUAAGUAACUAGUUAGCAAAAAAAUAAAUAAAUGAAAACAUGUAGGUAUCUAGUUAGAACAAAAAAUACUAGCACAACAUUCACAAAAAGUUAUCAUGGUGAAAGUUACCAUACGAUAAAAUGGUAAGCUGGAAAACAAGGUACAAAAAUCUUUCAUGUAGAGCGAUGUAUUUAUCAGUUAAAAGUAGAGCGCUACAAUUAUCAGUCAGAGGUUAGCAUGGUGAUAGCAGAAGUUACCACACAAAGGGUUGAAGUUAUCAGCAUGGUGAUAGCAGAAGUUAUCAGGGUAUGAUCACAAAUGUUACCAUUUAAUUAACUAGUUAGCAAAUAAUUAUCAGUCAGAUGUUAGUAAAAGUUACCAGGAAAAAUGAACAAUAAUAAUCACGUAUAAUACAUCCACACACCAGACAACAUAAAAAAUAAAGAGCGCAAAUGUGAAAUGAAAACACAUAGUUCAUUACAUAGCACACACGCAAAAGCAUAAGUCAUUACAUGUGAGAGGGGGGGGGGAGGUUGUCCAUACAUAGGAUAAAAAGAGCAUAAAUAUACACACAAGGAUCAAACUAAAAGCAUAAAAAAAGGUCUUCGAAAAGCAGACAUCCAUCCCAUCACUCUUUUGUGAUAAAACGAAGACACGUAUAUGCCUUCACUUACCAAGGUCAGCAGGCUCAGAGCCUGAAAACGGAUUGGAGUCAAUAGGAUUAUCUUCUGCAUUCUUUAAAUCUCGUGGUGCUGCCGCAAUAUGAUCAAUUGGGGGUGCUGCUGCUCGGUCUUGGGGAGCAUUGUUAACCGUUGGGGCCACUGCUGGUGCUUGAGUUGUCGAAACAACCGCUGGGGGCGGUGUUGGUACUGCAGCUGGGACUGCGGUCGUCGUAAUAAUAUCUGGUCCGGGCAGUGUGGGGCCAAAAUCUAGGCCAAGAGAGCAAGAUGGUGGGGUGAAAUCCUAGUAGGCCCUAUCAGCAACAACAUCUUCUACAUCUGCAUUAAUGCUAAAUUCUUGGGUGGCGACUUGGUCAUCCCCAAGUUGAGCUUCAACAAACACUGCAUCUUCAGUUUCAACUGGUUCUGCCACAUUGGAUUGGGAAGAUUCAACUUGAGCUUGAACAACACAUGGUAUUUUGACAUGAGCUUGGUCAUCUUCAGCUACAACAGCGGUCAUUGGAGGAGCAAUUCCUUGAACUUGAUCAGCAGAAGUUUCAGCUACGGCAGAACUCGUUGAAGGAGCAAUUCCUUGAGGUUGAUCAGCAGAAGUUUCAGCUACAACAACGCUCAUUGGAGGAGCAAUUCCUUUAGGUUGAUCAGCAGAAGUUUCAACUUUAGUGCCAAUAACAACAUUGACAAUUUCUUGUACCACUUGAGUAAUAGUGGCUGCAGCCGCGAGCUCAUCCACAGCUCCAAAACCAGCAUCUGGUGAAUUCCUCGCAGGGGCGUUAUCUUGCACAACAGCUAUUGGAGAACUGACCAUGGGGGAGUCUUUAAAAUCAUCUUUCGCGUCCUUGGGAGCAAAACGAGGAGAAGACCUAGUUGCAACUGCAACUUUAGAAGACUUCGUAACCUUCCUCACAGUAAUCUUGGUCUUCUUGCUGCACACAAAGAAAAAUAAACAUGGACAUCACCAGCUUAUAAAAACAUUAGUUACCAGCUUGUAUUAACAUUAGUUAUCAGAUUAUAUUUGCAUACAACAGCUAAAAAUAACAUUAGUUACCAGCUUAUAUUGACAGAAGUUAACGGCUAAAAAAUAACUUUAGUUACCAGCUUGUAUUCAAAUUAUUUGACAGCUUAUGGCCAACUUGGUUAUCCACAUAAUGCAAAAAAUCAACAUCGUCACGAAUCAUUAAUGAAGAUGGUAACUAUGAAGAUAACAAAGUUACCAACAAAAUUAUCAUGCUAAAAAUAAAUAAAUAUUGUAAAAGCUUCGACUAUAAAAACUACCAGUCAUUCCCGUACAGAUUAUGAUGCCACACAUAAAAGAGUUAAAUUACCGGUAUAUAUUCACCUAAUUUACAAAUGAAAAAUAAACAAAUAGAGAAAAUCAUUUAGAUAUCAUAUAGCAAGGAAAAAUAACAUUCAUAAUCACCUGCGUGACGUGUCAGACGAGUCAACAUCUGCCGAAGAACAUGCGGGAUUACUAGUUAUCUCCUCAGACAUGACACCCACACUGCUAGACCGCGUUUGCUGAAGGUCGGCAACACUAAUAGAUGGAGCAUUCGAACCCCUGACAAGUUAUUAUUUGAAAAAGGAUAUAGUGCACGUGAGAAAAAUGUUACCGUAGACAAAUAACACAUGCUUACCAGCAUAUAACUACUAAAAUUAUCAUGCAAACAAAGUUAAACUACAUAUUGUUCAAAUAAAAAACUGAAGUUAUUAUCGUGAAAAUAGCGACUGAAAGUUAUCAGCCUUACCAUGAUAUAAUUACUAUCCUUUCUAGAAAAAACACAAGCUUGAUAAGGAAUAGAAACUAUCCAGACAUAUUUACUUCUAAUUAUCAGAAGCUAGGUGCUAGGAAAAGUGAUAACACAAAAUAAUAACAACAAGUAAGUAUGUACAUAAAGAAAAAUAAAUAUGGACAUCACCAGCUUAUAAAACAUUAGUUACCAGCUUAUAUUAACAUUAGUUAUCACAUUAUAUUUGCACACAAUAGCUAAAAUAUAACAUUAGUUACCAGCUUAUAUUGACAGAAGUUACCAGCUAAGAAAUGCAAUAUAACAAAUGAAAAUAAAAAGAAAUCAACUAGCAGAUGAUAAGAAACUCACUUGCGAGGAUGUUGCUUCUUCCGCGUGGGAUUGGCAAUUACUGAGUUAGUGCCCUUAUCAGGGCCUACAAUGCCAAGCUCAUUGAUGACUAUUGCCUUGAUAGAACAAUGUGUAUCAUCCAACGACGGCUGGUCAGAAACAGUUGUACCAGUGGCCAUGGGCGGAGAAGGUAGGCGUAAUUUCUUGCGACGCCUGGAAUAUUGCUUUUCCAAGUUACGGGCGAGAGAAGAACCGCACCUCUUCACAGAAGCAUCAACAAUAGCCUCGUUUUGAGUAUCCGUCAUAUCUGGCUGGUUAUGCAAUCCAUCAGUAGAUACAUUCCCGGAACGUGCAGUAAGCAUAAUCUGAGACUCGAGAGGCUGAUCGGUUCCUGCAGUAGCAGUUGUAUCAAUUUCGGCUGACCUUACCGACACAUUGGCAGUUGCAAACAUGGUUGCACCCACAUCUGCAUUUGUUGCGCCACUACCUGAAGCAUCAUGGGCAUUCGGUCCAGCACUACCCCCACUACCUGAAGCCUCAUGGGCGUUCGGUCCACCUGAAGAACCAUGGUAAUGAACGUGAAAAUCUAGAUCUUCGUCAGAGUGACCAUCAGCGCCACCAUCACUAUCCUCAUGAUCAGAAUCUGAACCUUCGACAGUUUGCUUGCCGGUAUCUUUUACUUCACACAAGCGGGAUGCAGGAAGGGUGCUUGCAGUCUUCCCGGCAGCAGAAGAUAAACCCUUUAGUUGGCUCUCUAACACACGGGACAUCCAUGAGCUGUCUUCAUCAUCCAAGGACAUGAACUCAUUAACAAGACCACCCAGGAGGCCAACCAUGCCAGACGAAAAGCGACCCAUAAUAGCAGAAGCUUUAGCAAGUUUCUGAUAGAAAAUCACGAAUGAAAAAACAAAUAAUCAGGUUGUGAGAGACAUUAAGUACCAUGCAAAAACAACUAAAAAUACCACAUAAAGAUAAGUUCAAAUGAAGUUAUUCCAAAGUGAGAAUCUAAAAAAUAAAAAAAGUUACCAUCCUAAAAACAGUACAAGUUACCAGGUCUUUAUAACAAUAUUUACCAGGAAAAAGGAAAACAAAAAUACCCAAACGCACUAAAAAUAUUAAAAAUACCUGUUCGGAACAGUUUUGCGGUGCAUGAACACGCAUGAAUUUAUCUAGACCUUGUAAACCACCAAACAAGCAAUAGUCUUGGCCAUAUUGGGGCUUAAGCUGAAAAAAAUAUGAUAAAAAACAAAUUAAGAUCUUGAUAAAAAAGAUGGCAAUACAUAGAAGGUAAGAAAAAUGACGAAUGGGAAAUUACCGGUAAUUUCCCAUAAGAAAGCAUGUCCCUCUGGACAUCCAUCCGGAGAACUUUCGAUGCCAACUCAUUCGUCCACACAUUAAUUGCAAAAGGACCAUUAGGCAAGAUGAUACCAAGGCCAGUUAAGUCAAUAGCAUCUAUAUACAGAAGCUGGAAAAACAGAAAAGGUUGUUACAAUCUAACUGUUUGGCGGAAUACGACGUACAAUCCAAAUACCAUGGGAACAAAAAAAGAAUAGGGGGACUAACAUUGUAGAAUAGGAGGCAACCCGUCGUAGACUUUCCUUUUGAAAGGGCUUUAUGAAGCUGAUCCACAAUAAAUUUGCACCAGUUGAGGUUUUUUACAUUGCCAAUAUUUUGCUGUGAAAAAAAAGAAAGCACAUGAAACAUAGAGGAAUGUAUGCACACAAGUUAGCAGGGGACAUAAGUAGAUACUUAUAACACUGUUAAAGCAUUGAAUCACCAAGUACAUAAGCACACAAAUACCACAUUAUUGAGAAGUAAGUCAAAUUACCAUAUUGCAAGGCAUAAAUAAAUUAUCAGGUGCAUUACUAAAUAAUUACCAUACUUUCAGAAAAAUUUAUCAGGUGCAUUACUACGUAAUUACCACACCAUCAGAAAAAAGUUAUCACGUGCAUCACUAUGUAAUUACUACACCUUCAUAAAAAGUUAUCUGGUGCAUUACUAUAUAAUUACUACACCUUCAUAUAAAGUUAUCAGGUACAUUAGUACAUAAAUACCACACUUUAGAUCACAGAAAAAUCAAAGGGAUAGAAGUUACCACACUCCAAAAAUCAGGGAAAGUUAUCAAAGUGCAUAUGUGCAUAAUCAUCAGACUAAGAAGCAAAAAAUUACCAGGUAGAAAAACAGAAAAAGAAAAGCGAUAAAAAUCAUGAACUAGAAAGAUAGCCAGAUGUUCUUACCAACACAGGAUACCAUCUGGUGUUGAUCUUGUUCGAAGUCGUCGGCGCCAUCACGGUGCUGGGAGCAAGCACAAGCCACAAGCACUUGAAAUUGUCGUCAUGACGGUUAGUGCUCAAGAUAAGGUUUAAUACAUCCACAGUUUUAGGAGCAUGUCCAAGAUCACCAAAAAGAUCUCCCGCAAGCUCAAGUUGUGCAUCUGUAGGAACCUUGAAAUCCACCGCAAUAUCACCUCGGGGCACACCCAUUAUACGAUGCACAGACUCUUCACUGACCGGUAACCUUCCGCGACCGGGUACAACAACCUCACGGGAAUCAGGGUCGUAUAGACCAGCAAGCCAUUGAGGAAGCUGAUUGAACAGAUUAUCACACUUGAUAUUCCGCAGUUUAGUGAAAUCCAUGUCAUCGAUCGCGGCCAUUCUCUCAUCUGACAUAUCCUUACAGGCAGUCACAAGAGCACUAGGAGAAGCCCUAUUCCGAUCUGCGGGAGGCUUAUGCUUCUUUAAGGGGUUCACCUCCUCAAAGUCAUCAUCUAAUUUGCGCUUCCUUGGCAUCUUGACCAGACACACAAGAAUAACAAAGAGAAAAAGUGAGCAUAAAGGAUGCAUAACUGUUGAAUUAAUAGUCACACACCUAUUCUUAUGAUACAUUGGUAACUUGUGAACAUACAACAAGAUAACUCAUCCACAACAGAGAAGGACGAAAAAAGGGGACAUGUCUGCUUCUACUAGAUAUUGAAUACCUGAUUAUUUUUCUUACGAUACACCAAUAAAAUGUAUGUAUCAGGCAAGAUAACUUAUGCAAAAUAGGGAUGGCAACAACUUACACACAAACACAUAUAUUGGACAUCACAUCACUAAGUAUUAAAAAAUCAGUGACAUGAUAAAAUUUACAGGUGACUCCUGAUAAAUUAUUCACACCACUGAUGGUAAUAUUCACAAUUAAAGUUCAGGUAAGUUAAAUGAUGGCACAUCCAUCAGUUAGAAACACAAAAAUGCAUCAUGAAAAGAGACACCACUGAUAGUGCUAGAACAAACAAUCCAUCAUGACAACCUAAACACAAAACGAGAUGAACUGCAUAUAAAACACAAAAACAGUAUGGGAUUAUCACCAGCAACCUAAUUAUACAGGUGGUAAUUCAAUUCCUUCACUGCAACCAUAAGAGCAUGAUAAAACUGAGCCCAACAUAGAUACAGAGUGAGGAGAGUCGUUGUAAAAUCCUCGCACCAAACCCUACCGGCGACCAAAAUAACGGCAGAAAUCAUCAUAGGAUAACGCCGUCGAAUCAUGAACGGAAACAUAAUGGUUAUGCAUCUAGAGAAAACCCUAGAAAUCAAAAUCGAGCCGUGUAACAGGGGGGGUCAGUUCAAAAACUUACGACAACUACCCACGAAAUUGAAAACGACAAAUUAAGCACUAAAACGAUGUGCAUGCGAAACAGAGGAUAACAAAUAGCAAAUGCACCACGAAUUGAACAUAUUGGGCGCAUUCCUCGUCUGUUCUAACCUGCGACCAAUCUGACGAACAUCCCGCCACUAACGACGUCGAGAAACAAAGCACGAACUAGUGGGGUGGAUGCGAGGGGGAUUGAGCGAUACUCACCAGUGGAACAGAAAACUGCCUCCGAGAAUCGGCCGGAGAAGGCGCCACCGCUCGCCGUCGACGGAGAGAGAGCAGGGGCGGAGCGGCCGAGAAACACAGAGCGGAGCAGCGCACGAUUACCAAAUGAAUCAAGGGGGUGNNNNNNNNNNNNNNNNNNNNNNNNNNNNNNNNNNNNNNNNNNNNNNNNNNNNNNNNNNNNNNNNNNNNNNNNNNNNNNNNNNNNNNNNNNNNNNNNNNNNNNNNNNNNNNNNNNNNNNNNNNNNNNNNNNNNNNNNNNNNNNNNNNNNNNNNNNNNNNNNNNNNNNNNNNNNNNNNNNNNNNNNNNNNNNNNNNNNNNNNNNNNNNNNNNNNNNNNNNNNNNNNNNNNNNNNNNNNNNNNNNNNNNNNNNNNNNNNNNNNNNCGAGCGAGCGGACGUGCAGCGGUGGCCAACACAGCAGCGAGAGAAAAAAAAGAAACGGCUUGCUGGAAUGAGUAACGUGCGUUGGAUUCAAAUUGGCGGCAUCCAAGUGGUGUGGCGUUUUUGCAAUCUAUCACAGUUGUGCCGCGAGCUCAUCCACAGCUCCAAAACCAGCAUCUGGUGAAUUCCUCGCAGGGGCAUUACCUUACACAAUAGCUAUGGAGAACUGACCAUGGGGGAGUCUUUAAAAUCAUCUUUCGCGUCCUUGGGAGCAAAUCGAGGAGAAGACCUAGUUGCAACUGCAACUUUAGAAGACUUCGUAACCUUCCUCACAGUAAUCUUGGUCUUCUUGGUGCACACAAAGAAAAAUAAACAUGGACAUCACCAGCUUAUAAAAACAUUAGUUACCAGCUUAUAUUAACAUUAGUUAUCAGAUUAUAGUUGCAUACAACAGCUAAAAAUAACAUUAGUUACCAGCUUAUAUUGACAGACGUUAAUAGCUAAAAAAUAACUUUAGUUACCAACUUGUAUUUAAAUUAUUUGACAGCUUAUGGCCAACUUGGUUAUCCACAUAAUGCAAAAAAUCAACAUCGUCAUGAAUCAUUAAUGAAGAUGGUAACUAUGAAGAUAACAAAGUUACCAACAAAAUUAUCAUGCUAAAAAUAAAUAAAUAUUGUCACGGAUAGAAAAAGGGCCUGUUGUCCCGGUUCGUCGGGGUCUUUUGUCCCGGUUCUGGAACCGAGACUAAAGGGUCGGUACUAAUGCCCUGUCCCUUUAGUCCCGGUUCAAUCCAGAACGGGGAUAGAUGGGCCUCCACGUGGCCUGUGCGCGGAGCCCAGGCAGGAGACCCUUUGGUCCCGGUUGGUGGCACCAACCGGGACCAAUAGGGAUCCAUGCGUUAGCAUUUCUAUGGUUGGGGUUUUGUCUUUUUGAAGGGGGGGGGGGUUGGGGGUUUUGUGGGGUUAAUUUAGGUGUUUCAUAUAUUGUGUUAGCUAGCUAUAAUUAAUAGAGAGAAGUGUCCUCUCUUAUGUCCGUGCUUGGUCGACGCUACGUACUAUACAUACGUAUAGAGAGGACUAGACACGCUAGCUAGCUAGUAAGCAAACGAAGGAAACAGAAGAUCGUCAUGAACAUAUAUGCAUACAGAGAGAAGUGAUAUCGACCACCUCUCCUUCUCCAAGAGAUUGGUCGAACAACAAGUUCUCGUAUAUCUAUCCGACACUACCGGCUACAUAUAUACAAUAAUUAUCUCUUACAAAUAUAGUCAUACGGACUCAGGGUCCACAUAGUAUUCUCCGUCUUUAGGGAUCACGUGGUCAAGAAAGAAUGCCGCCAAUUCCUCUUGAAUUGCUCGCAUGCGAGGUGGUGCUAGGAGUUCAUCCCACUUUCGAAAUAUCUAAUUUAAAGAAGGGGGUCAAUACAUAUAUAUAUAUAUGAAUGAAUGAAACUCAACACAAAUGAUGGUAAUAAAAUAAAAUUGUGAAUGUUGUUAUUUACGUACUUCAUAUUGUUCGUCAGUGUAGCCCCGCUCACAGGUCGUGUGGCGGAUGGACUCGCAAACGUAGUAUCCACAGAAAUCAUUCCCUUGUUCCUGCCACAACCACUUUACAAGAAAUAGAGGUCAAUCAAACUGAUAAGCAAGAAUGCCAAAUGGUAUUGAUGAAACUAGCGCUUGAAUGACUAGUAGAUGCGCGGAACAUGCUACUAUAGUACUUACUUUCGGGUGUCUAAAUUGCAGCUCCUUCGGUAGUCCCGAAGCUUUUCUGGUGAAUUUUCUCCAAACCCUGCCGGACAAAGAAAACAAUUACUUGAUAUAUCAGGAAAUGAACAAAGUUGCUGAUAUGGUGGAUAAUGAUCGAUUUAACUUACUUCUCGAGUAUUUGAGUCAUGUCUGCAUAGUCCUGGGGAUCUUUUCGUCUUGAGUCUAAGACGGUUACUAGUCCCUGCUCAAGCUUAAUAUCUAGGAGAAUAUAGUGGAAACUGCACACGCAUGCAUAACUCAUCAAUUACAUUACUAUAACCUUGACUAAUAUAUAAGGGAAACCGAAUAUGCACAAGACAGUAACACUCACUUGAAGUUGUAAGGAAAGAGUAUUAUAUCUUUGUUUUCAUUUAUUACCAACGAUCGUAGCAAGUUGGCCUCGGUAGCUGCGGCAUGAAAUUUGACCUGAGUUGCAUCUAUGAGAUAUGUGUUAAUGAACCCAAUAUCACCGACUUGUCUUUUCUUCAAUUCGGCGAUCUUCAAUCUGCAUAAUAUAGUGAGGAUGAUUAUAAAUACAUGCAAUGAAAGAGCUGAGCUAUAUAGAGAGACUUAAUGACAGAAGUAGUACUACUUACAGACAGUAGCAGGCGACCGUUGUUUUAUCGAGGGACAAUUGAUUGAAAAACUGAUAGAACUCCUCAAAUGGAACAGGCAACCGUUCAAUUCCAACGAGGUCAUGCUCCUUUUUAACUUUCACAUACAAAGUACUCCUCCCCCCAGAGUCUCUGCAGAUUUUCAAGUACCAAUCAUGAAAUCUUCGCAUCAUCGUUGAUAGAGAUCUUUCAUCUUUGACGAGAGGCUUCCCGUACUCAUAUCUUUAUAUCUGCACCUCCAUGGGUUCAUAAUGUACAUCGUCGGGCAGGUAAUCUGCAAGAUUGUUAUAACCGGGCACCAUCCUCGGAUCAUUAGCGACGUUGUGGCUAGGCACCUUGAGAGGGGGGCACGAUUGCUUCGCUUGUUCGCCGAGCUGGGCAAUCUGUUUCCUAGCUCGUCGUUCUUUCAGCCUUUGAUCACUGACAGUACUUCCCGACCGCUCCGCUUCGGCAAAUUCCUUUCCAAUAAUGCGCUCAUAGUUUCCUUUCGGUGGAGACUUGGGUGGUUUUGUCAGGGCAGCCAGAGUGCACUUCGCUUUCACCGGAUCUACCUUAUCCUCCGGAAGUGGAUGUCUCUUUGCUUUCAACCCUUGAAACCAGUCGUCCACUUCGGUUCGUGCAAUCUCGGCAUACUCCUCCGGGGUCCUCUCAUAUGGUAACUUCUCUGGAGUCUUCAGAGAAGGACCGAAUCUGUAUGUCCUCCCGCCUCUGGCUGUACUGCUAGAUGUCGGCCGAGCAGACGGAACGGUUGUCUUCUUUACUUGCUUACGAGGCGGAGGAGAAGGACUAUGACGCGCCGGAGCGGCGGCAGGUCUCUUCCGCCCUUGCUGACGAGGCAGAGAAGGAGGAGGCUGGCUGCUCGGGCGCGUCGGCGCAGGCGGAGAAGGAGGCGGAGUGCCGCCACGCGCUGGAGAAGGAGCCAGUCGAGUGCCCUGAUCGUCACUCGCCGGAGGAGGAGGCGGUGGAGGAGGCGGAGUGCCCUGACUCGCCGGAGGAGGAGGCGGUGGAGGAGGCGGAGUGCCCUGACUUACCGGAGGAGGAGGAGGUGGAGGUGUCCAGUUCGGAAGGUUGAUGAGCUCCUUCCGCCAUAGGCAUGGAGUCUUCAGAGCAGACCCCAGCCUAGUCUCCCCUUCACCGGUAGGGUGGUCAAGCUGGAGGUCCUCAAAUCCCUCCGUUAUUUCAUCCACCAUCACCCUAGCAUAUCCUUCUAGAAUCGGCCGGCAGUGAAAAGUUGCUCCAGGUUCAGUAGGAUAAACAGAGCCAACAGCCGCCUUGACCUUCAAAUUCAUCCAUUGCGUCAUAAGGUGGCAAUUUUGAGACUCCAUGAUAGCAUCCACGGGAUAGCUGGCAGGAGCCGUCAAGGCAUGCUCCGGCUGAAGCAGCUCGGUGGAAGCCACGCUGCUUCUCCACUGAGAUGGCGGGGUAGCUUUGGGGGAAGCUUCGGCAGUACGUUUGCUGCGAUUUGCUUCUCGUUCCUCUAUCGCUUGUACCCUUGCUUGCAGCACCUGCAUUUGGGUCUGCUGCACUUGUUUCCUCCUCUCAUGGGAUUUUUAACCGCCUGCGUCCGGAAACCCAACCUUCCACGGAAUGGAGCCUGGCGUGCCUCGUGUCCGUCCAGGGUGCUCAGGAUUCCCGAGGGCCAUUGUGAGCUCAUCGUUCUCUCUGUCUGGAAAGAACGUCCCUUGCUACGCUGCUUCGAUAUAGUGUUGAAGCUUCCUGACUGGUAUGUCCAUUUGAUCAUUCGUCCAAAUGCACUUCCCUGUUACAGGGUCCAAGGUUCCGCCAGCACCGAAGAACCAAGUCCGGCAACGGUCUGGCCAGUUAAUUGUCUCUGGUUCGAUGCCUUUAUCAAACAGAUCAUUCUCAGUCUUGGCCCACUUAGGCCGGGCUACGAGGUAGCCACCUGACCCCGUGUGAUGGUGAUGCUUCUUCUUCGCAGCAUUUUGCUUGUUUGUCGCCGACAUCUUCUUACUCUUUUCCGAUGUCUAGUGGGCCACAAAUGCAGGCCAGUGAUCUCUGAUCAUCUCAUAUCUGCCCUUGAAUUCUGGUGUCUUAUUAUUUUCGACAAACUUAUUCAGCUCUUUAUUCCACCUCCUGAAUAGUUCUGCCAUCCUCUUAAGAGCAAAAGACUUGAUUAAUUGCUCUUUAACUAGCUUCUCUAGAUUAUCCUCUGGCGGUAGGGUGAAAUUUGACUUCAGCUCAGUCCAAAGAUCAUUUUUCUGCAUAUCAUUGACAUAAGACACCUCAAGGUCUUCUGUAGCCGGCUUAAACCAUUGCUGGAUGCUGAUCGGGAUCUUGUCCCUAACCAAAACCCCGCACUGAGCAACAAAUGCGCUCUUUGUCCGGAGGGGUUCAAUCGGUUGGCCGUCGGGCGCGAUUGCUAUGAUCUCAAACUUUUCAUCCGAGCUCAACUUUUUCUUCGGGCCUCGUCUCUUUACCGAAGUUGUGCUCGAUCCGGAGGGCUAGAAAAAAGAACAAAGACUUAAUUAAUAUGUGUACAUACCAAAACAAUGAAUGCAUCAAUUAGCUAGUCAGCAGAAGCUUAACUAAUAUAUAUACCUGGCCGGACUCGGUUCGGUCACCGGAGACGUCAUCACGGUCUCCUUCUUGCACCGGCAUUGGGUCACCGGAGCCGUCCUCACGGUCUCCUUCUUGCACCGGCAUUAGGUCACCGGAGCCAUCAUAAUCAGCUGGUUCCAGACCAUCGGUCUCGUUGAGAAACAACGAGCAGAUGCAUCACUUCCUCAUGCGAUUAUGUCUCCCAACAACUCUUCUUGUACUUCGUCUCGGGCAGUGUCCAUAGUUUCUACAAAUAUUGACAACAUGGCAAUUAUUAUUCAAACAUGACAGAUGGAUAUAUUAGUGGCAAAAACGUAGAACUAAUAUUAAUUAGUGGCCUCGACGCUGCUUCUCUAGGGUUUGGGGUGGCCUCGACGCUGCUUCUCUAGGGUUUGGGGUGGCCUCGACAACGCUUCAAGGAUAAAAAAAGAAGAGGAAGAAGAAAAAAAAGAGGAGAAGAAAGAAUAGAGGAGUAAGAACUCCUCUAUUCUUUCUUCUCCUCUUUUUUUUUCUUCUUCCUCUUUUUUUUAUCGGGAACGAGGGUCGUCGAGGGUCACCGAGCGAUAGAGGAAACCCUAAAUAGCAAGUAUCGUGGGUGUGAGAUACAUGUGGCCGUCGGUGUCGGACACUACAUCCACGUCCCACAAGUGACGUGGAUGUAGUGUCCGACACCGACNNNNNNNNNNNNNNNNNNNNNNNNNNNNNNNNNNNNNNNNNNNNNNNNNNNNNNNNNNNNNNNNNNNNNNNNNNNNNNNNNNNNNNNNNNNNNNNNNNNNNNNNNNNNNNNNNNNNNNNNNNNNNNNNNNNNNNNNNNNNNNNNNNNNNNNNNNNNNNNNNNNNNNNNNNNNNNNNNNNNNNNNNNNNNNNNNNNNNNNNNNNNNNGUACAUGUAUCUCACACCGACGAUACUUUCUAUUUAGGGUUUCUCCUCUACCGCUCGGCGACCCUCGACGACCCUCGUUCCCGAUAAAAAAAAGAGGAAGAAGAACAAAAAAAAGAGGAGAAGAAAGAAUAGAGGAGAAGAACUCCUCUAUUCUUUCUUCUCCUCUUUUUAUUCUUCUUCCUCUUCUUUUUUUAUCCUCUUCUUCCUCUCAUGUUCGAGAGGAUCGCCGAGGGGUCGGGAGGUUGCCUAGUGUCAAAGGAUUCAACAAAACCAUGUCUUCAUCAUUAGGCGAAAGUAACAGGUGCAUGAUGGUACGAAGCUCUCCAAAGUUAUUUUGGAACGGAGUCCUAGAUAAGAUAAUUCGCUUUUUGGUACAAAGUUCAACAAGAACCUUCCAAAUAUCAUUAUUUGGAAGGCAUUUGCUGAAAUUCAUACAAAAAGGCAAAUUAUCCUAUCCGGGACACCAUUCCAAAAUAACUUUGGAGGACUUCGUCAUGCCCUGGUUACUUCCGACUAAUGAUGAAGCCAUGGAUUUCUUCAAUACUUUGACACUAGGAAACCUCUCUCGGCCCCUCGGAGAUUCUCGACCCCUCGAACCCUCGACGACCCUGGAACCCUCGACCCCUAGACGACCCUGAAACCCUCGACCCUCGAUCCCUCGACCCUAUAGAACCCUCGAAGAAAGAAAUAGCUAGAGGAGAAGAUCAAAGAAAAAAAGAAGAAAAAAAAGAGGAGAAGAAGAAAGGAAUAGUGGAGAAGAAGAGAAAAUAGAUAAGGAAUAGUGGAGAAGAAGAGAAAUAGAAUACUCUAUUUUCUCUUCUUCUCCACUAUUCCUUUCUUCUUCUCCUCUUCUUUUCCUUCUUUUUUCUUCUUAUUUAUUUCUCCUCUUCUUUUCCUCUCCUCUUCUUCUUUCUUUCCUCUUCUUAUUUUCUUCUUUCCUAUCCUUCCUUUUCUUAUAAAUUUUAGCAUAUUCUAAAUUUUCUUCUAACUUUCUAUAUAUGAACAAAAAACUUUCUAUGAACAAAAAACUUUCUAUAUAUAUAUGAAAAAAAAUUCUAUGAACAAAAAAAUUAAACUAACAUACACAUAUACAUUAUACAUUGUAUAUGAACAUUAUACAUACACAUAUACAUACACAUAUACAUUAUACAUACACAUAUACAUUAUACAAAAUUUUCUGUGAACAUAUACAUACACAUAGCCACAUACGUACAUACACAUAUACAUUAUAUAUAUUUAUGAACAAAAAAAUUAAACUUAAAAAAAUGAAGGGCAGGGGCGGUGCGCGGCGGCCGCGCAAGGCAGGGGAGGCGCACGGCGGCAGCGAAGGGUAGGGGCGGCNNNNNNNNNNNNNNNNNNNNNNNNNNNNNNNNNNNNNNNNNNNNNNNNNNNNNNNNNNNNNNNNNNNNNNNNNNNNNNNNNNNNNNNNNNNNNNNNNNNNNNNNNNNNNNNNNNNNNNNNNNNNNNNNNNNNNNNNNNNNNNNNNNNNNNNNNNNNNNNNNNNNNNNNNNNNNNNNNNNNNNNNNNNNNNNNNNNNNNNNNNNNNNNNNNNNNNNNNNNNNNNNNNNNNNNNNNNNNNNNNNNNNNNNNNNNNNNNNNNNNNNNNNNNNNNNNNNNNNNNNNNNNNNNNNNNNNNNNNNNNNNNNNNNNNNNNNNNNNNNNNNNNNNNNNNNNNNNNNNNNNNNNNNNNNNNNNNNNNNNNNNNNNNNNNNNNNNNNNNNNNNNNNNNNNNNNNNNNNNNNNNNNNNNNNNNNNNNNNNNNNNNNNNNNNNNNNNNNNNNNNNNNNNNNNNNNNNNNNNNNNNNNNNNNNNNNNNNNNNNNNNNNNNNNNNNNNNNNNNNNNNNNNNNNNNNNNNNNNNNNNNNNNNNNNNNNNNNNNNNNNNNNNNNNNNNNNNNNNNNNNNNNNNNNNNNNNNNNNNNNNNNNNNNNNNNNNNNNNNNNNNNNNNNNNNNNNNNNNNNNNNNNNGUCGGGGCAGCCUGGCGGCGUCGGGGCAACUGGCGAGGGAAAUGGUGAAAAUUUCCUAAGUGUUGCUUAUAUAGCUAAGGCAUUGGUCAUGGUUCGUGGCACAAACCAUGACCAAUGCCCCUCUUUAGUCCCGGUUGGUGCCACCAACGAGGACCAAAGGCCGUCGCUUCCCGCCCUUUGGGUUGCUGAAAAGAGGCCUUUGGUCCCGGUUGGUAGCAUCAAACAGGACUAAAGGGGGGCAUUGGUCACGGUUCGUGGCACCAACCGUGACCAAUGCCCCCUUUAGUCCCGGUUGGUGCCACCAACCGAGACCAAAGGCCUUGUGCUGCCCCGCGCCCAAAUGUUUAGUCCCACCUCGCUAGUUGAGAGGGAGCCGCACCUAUUUAUAAGGUGCGGUGCGCCUUCCCUCUCGAUCUCCUCUCUAAAGCAGGCUUUCGGGCCUAACCGUGCAAUUUGUGCCUGUGGGCCUACUGGGCCUCCCGUGGGCCUGAAUCCUGGCCCAUGGUAGGGUUUCUAGUCGUAUUCAGGCCGUGGGUGCCCAGUAGGUGGCACUUUUUUUUGUUUUUUUGUUUUUUUGUUUCUACUUACAACAAAAUACUUAUUGUUGCUAUAUUUAAUUUUUUUUCCAGUUUUUUUGUUUUGUUUUCUGCAUUAUUUAUUUUCUUUUGUUUUUUGCUUUAUUUUUUAAUUCUUUUUGCUUUUAGUUUUAGAAAAAUUAUAAACUUUCUGUUAGUGCCAUUAGUUUUCAAAUUUGAAAACACUUUUUUUGUUNNNNNNNNNNNNNNNNNNNNNNNNNNNNNNNNNNNNNNNNNNNNNNNNNNNNNNNNNNNNNNNNNNNNNNNNNNNNNNNNNNNNNNNNNNNNNNNNNNNNNNNNNNNNNNNNNNNNNNNNNNNNNNNNNNNNNNNNNNNNNNNNNNNNNNNNNNNNNNNNNNNNNNNNNNNNNNNNNNNNNNNNNNNNNNNNNNNNNNNNNNNNNNNNNNNNNNNNNNNNGCUUUAUUUUUUAAUUCUUUUUGCUUUUAGGUCAGCAAAAUUAUAAACUUUCUGUUGCUUUAUUUAUUUUAUUUUGUUUCUACUUACAACAAAAUACUUAUUGUUACUAUUUUUUUUCCAGUUUUUUUGUUUUGUUUUCUGCAUUAUUUAUUUUCUUUUGUUUUUUGCUUUAUUUUUUUAUUCUUAUUGCUUUAGUUUUAGAAAAAUUAUAAACUUUCUGUUAGUGCCAUUAUAAACUUUUUGCUUUUAAUUUGAAUUUUUUGAAAAUUGUUUGAAUCACAAGUUUGUGAUUAACUUACUAAAAAAAUGAGAAUAGAUGCGCUUAUAGAGAAAAUUCAACCUAAAUUCCUAGUAAAUUUCUGUGAAUUUCAGAGAAAUUCACUAUGAAUUUAGGUUAAACUUUUCUCUAUUAGGGCAUCUAUUUUCACUUUGAGAGGAGCUCAACAAGGCAGAGAGGGAAGGGCUUAUAAACCGGUGUGAGCCCCCUUCGGUUGGCGAGGUGGGACUAAACUCUGCCCGCAACGAGGACCAACCCUUUAGUCCCGGUUUGUGGCACAAACCGGGACUAAUGGUCAUGGGCCACGGGCGAGGAGCAAAAUUAUAAACUUUCUGUUAGUGCCAUUAGUUUUAGAAAGUUGAAAGUUGAAAGUUGGCAUGGGCCAAGGACUAAUGGUCAUGGUAUUACGAGGGCCGAACCAUAAGACAUGAAAGCAUUUCAAAUGAACUCUGAAAAGGUUGAAAGUUGGCAUGGUAUCAUAAUUUCACCCACGUAGCAUGUGCAUGUACAAAACGGACAAUGGUAGCAUGUUCGUGUGUUACAAAGUUGGCAUGGUAUCAUCAUAAUAGUUGCGGGAGAAAGUUUUCACUUUUUCUUCGCUUGUGUCAUUUGCUUAUUGCGCCGUAACCAUGGAUAAUCUUCAUUGUUUAUCAGGAUGCUUGGGUCAGCCUUGACAUUGAAGGGAGGAAUUUCAUGAAACUUUUUAGAAUCUUCAGACAUGUCUGUCUUGUCGUCCACUCCCAGGAUGUCCCUUUUUCCUGAAAGAACUAUGUGGCGCUUUGGCUCAUCGUAUGAUGUAUUCGCUUCCUUAUCUUUUCUUUUUCUCGGUUUGGUAGACAUGUCCUUCACAUAGAUAACCUGUGCCACAUCAUUGGCUAGGACGAACGGUUCGUCAGUGUACCCAAGAUUUUUUAGAUCCACUGUUGUCAUUCCGUAUUGUGGGUCUACCUGUACCCCGCCGCCUAACAGAUUGACCCAUUUGCACUUAAACAAAGGGACCUUAAAAUCAGGUCCGUAGUCAAGUUCCCAUAUGUCCACUAUGUAACAAUAAUAUGUGUCCUUUCCGCUCUCGGUUGCUGCAUCAAAGCGGACACCACUAUUUUGGUUGGUGCUCUUUUGAUCUUGGGCGAUCGUGUAAAAUGUAUUCCCAUUUAUGUCGUAUCCUUUGUAAGUCAAUACAGUCAAAGAUGGUCCCCUGGACAACAAGUACAACUCAUCACAAAUAGUGUUGUCACCUCUCAGACGUGUUUCUAACCAACUGCUGAAAGUCCUGAUGUGUUCACAUGUAAUCCAGUCGUCGCACUGCUCCGGGUGUUUGGAGCGCAGACUAUUCUUGUGUUCAUCGACAUACGGGGUCACCAAGGUAGAGUUCUGUAGAACUGUGUAGUUUGCUUGAGACCAAGAAUAUCCGUCCCUGCAUAUUAUUGAGUCUCUUCCAAGAGUGCCUUUUCUAGUCAGUUUCCCCUCAUACCGCGAUUUAGGGAGACCUAUCUUCUUAAGGCCAGGAAUGAAGUCAACACAAAACCCGAUAACAUCCUCUGUUUGAUGGCCCAUGGAGAUGCUUCCUUCUGGCCUAGCGCGGUUACGGACAUAUUUCUUUAGGACUCCCAUGAACCUCUCAAAGGAGAACAUAUUGUGUAGAAAUACGGGCCCCAGGAUGACAAUCUCGUCAACUAGAUGAACUAGGACGUGCGUCAUGAUAUUGAAGAAGGAUGGUGGGAACACCAGCUCGAAACUGACAAGACAUUGCGCCACAUCACUCCUUAGCCUUGGUACGAUUUCUGGAUCGAUCACCUUCUGAGAGAUUGCAUUGAGGAAUGCACAUAGCUUCACAAUGGCUAAUCGGACGUUUUCUGGUAGAAGCCCCCUCAAUGCAACCGGAAGCAGUUGCGUCAUAAUCACGUGGCAGUCAUGAGACUUUAGGUUCUGAAAUUUUUUCUCUGGCAUAUUUAUUAUUCCCUUUAUAUUCGACGAGAAGCCAGUCGUGACCUUCAUACUGAGCAGGCAUUCAAAGAAGAUUUCUUUCUCUUCUUUCGUAAGAGCGUAGCUGGCAGGACCUUUAUACUGCUUCAGAGGCAUGCCGUCUUUUUCGUGCAAACGGUGCAGGUCCUCCCGCGCCUCAGGUGUAUCUUUUGUCUUCCAAUACACGCCCAAGAAGCCUAGCAGGUUCACGCAAAGGUUCUUCGUCACGUGCAUCACGUCGAUUGAGGAGUGGACCUCUAGGUCUUUCCAGUAGGGUAGGUCCCAAAAUAUAGAUUUCUUCUUCCACAUGGGUGCGUGUCCCUCAGCGUCAUUCGGAACAGCUAGUCCACCGGGACCCUUUCCAAAGAUUACGUAGUGUAAAUCAUUGACCAUAGCAAGCACGUGAUCACUGGUGUGCAUGGCGGGCUUCUUCCGGUGAUCUGCCUCGCCUUUGAAAUGCUUGCCUUUCUUUCGACAUUGAUGGUUGGUUGGAAGAAAUCGACGAUGGCCCAGGUACACAUUCUUCCUGCAUUUGUCCAGGUAUAUACUUUUAGUGUCAUCUAAACAGUGCGUGCAUGCGUGGUAUCCUUUGUUUGUCUGUCCUGAAAGGUUACUGAGAGCGGGACAAUCGUUGAUGGUCACGAACAGCAACGCCUUAAGGUUAAAUUCCUCAUGUCUGUGCUCAUCCCACGUACAUACACCGUUUCCAUUCCACAGCUGUAAAAGUUCUUCAACUAAUGGCCUUAGGUACACAUCAAUUUCGUUGCCGGGUUGCUUAGGGCCUUGGAUGAGAACUGGCAUCAUAAUGAACUUCCGCUUCAUGCACAUCCAAGGAGAAAGAUUAUACAUACAUAGAGUCACGGGCCAGAUGCUGUGAUUGCUGCUCUGCUCCCCGAAAGGAUUAAUGCCAUCCGCGCUUAAAGCAAACCAUACAUACCUUGGGUCCUUUGCAAACUCAUCCCAGUACUUUCUCUCGAUUUUUCUCCACUGCGACCCGUUAGCAGGUGCUCUCAACUUCCCAUCUUUCUUUCGGAUCUCACUGUGCCAUCGCAUCAACUUGGCAUGCUCUUCGUUUCUGAACAGACGUUUCAACCGUGGUAUUAUAGGAGCAUACCACAUCACCUUCACAGGAACCCUCUUCCUGGGGGGCUCGCCGUCAACAUCACCAGGGUCAUCUCGUCUGAUGUUAUACCGCAAUGCGCCACAUACCGGGCAUGCGUUCAGAUCCUUGUAUGCACCGCGGUAGAGGAUGCAGUCAUUAGGGCAUGCAUGUAUCUUCUCCACCUCCAAUCCUAGAGGGCAUACGACCUUCUUUGCUGCGUAUGUACUGUCGGGCAAUUUGUUAUCCUUUGGAAGCUUCUUCUUCAAUAUUUUCAGUAGCUUCUCAAAUCCUUUGUCAGCUACAACAUUCUCUGCCUUCCACUGCAACAAUUCUAGUACGGUACCGAGCUUUGUGUUGCCAUCUUCACAAUUGGGGUAUAACCCUUUUUUGUGAUCCUCUAACAUGCGAUCGAACUUCAGCUUCUCCUUUUGACUUUCGCAUUGCGUCCUUGCAUCGACAAUGACCCGGCAGAGAUCAUCAUCAUCGGGCACAUCGUCUGGUUCCUCUUGAUCUUCAGCAGCUUCACCCGUUGCAGCAUCAUUGGGCACAUCAUCUGGUGCCUCUUGAUCGUCACCAGCUUCCCCCGUUGCAGCAUCACCGUAUUCAGGGGGCACAUAGUUUUCAUCGUACUCUUCUUCUUCGUCGUCUUCCAUCAUAACCCCUAUUUCUCCGUGCCUCGUCCAAACAUUAUAGUGUGGCAUGAAACCCUUGUAAAGCAGUUGGGAGUGAAGGAUUUUCCGGUUAGAGUAAGACCUCGUAUUCCCACAUUCAGUGCAUGGACAACACAUAAAACCAUUCUGCUUGUUUGCCUCAGCCGCAUCGAGAAACUCAUGCACGCCCUUAAUGUACUCGCGGGUGUGUCUGUCACCGUACGUCCAUUACCGGCUCAUCUGCGUGCAUUAUAUAUAAUUAAGUGUCCAAAUUAAUAGAAGUUCAUCAUCACAUUAAAACCAAAGUGCAUACAUAAUUCUCAUCUAACAACAUAUAGCUCUCCAGAGCAUCUAAUUAAUUAAACCAUACAUUGAAACUAUGUAAAAUAUUUCAAUGCGAAAACAAAUGCGAUCAUAAUCGCAACCAAGGUAACAAUUGAUCCGACGGCAUAAUGAUACCAAAGCCUCGGUAUGAAUGGCAUAUUUUCUAAUCUUUCUAAUCUUCAAGCGCAUUGCAUCCAUCUUGAUCUUGUGAUCAUCGACGACAUCCGCAACGUGCAACUCCAAUAUCAUCUUCUCCUCCUUAAUUUUUUUAUUUUUUCCUUCAACAAAUUGUUUUCUUCUUCAACUAAAUUUAACCUCUCGACAAUAGGGUCGGUUGGCGUUUCCGAUUCACAUACAUCCUACAUAAAUAAAAUCUAUGUCACGUUGGUCGGCAUAAUUUUCAUAAAUAAUAAAUGAACCAAUAGUUAUAAAGAUAAUAUAUAUACCACAUCCGAAUCAUAGACAGGACGAGGGCCGACGGGGGCGGAUACCAAAAUCAUCGCACUAUAUAAGAUGCAAUAAUAAAGGUAAGAAAAUAAUACAAGUAUCUAUGUAAACAUACAAGUAAGAAUAUUUUUCCUUUCAGAAAGAAGAUAAAACAAGAGGCUCACCACGGUGGUGCCGGCGAUGAGCUCGGCGCGGGUGAUCGACGGCGGUGAAGACGGGGACGGGGCGUGACGGACCGCUAAACCUAGACAAAUAUUAUGGAAAAUGGAGCUUGGAGGUCGAGCUUGGAGAGGAGAAAGCUUAAGUAGUGUGGUCGGGCAUUCCAUCGAACACCUUGUGUGCAUAGGAGGUGAGCUAGAGCACCAUCAAGCCCUCUCCCCCUCGGCCAGAGAAAAACAGAGCACUGGGGUGCUCUGCUCGCGAGCGAGGGGUAUAUAUAGGCACCUCAUUGGUCCCGGUUGGUGACAUGAGCCGGGACUAAAGGGGAGCCUUUGGUCCCGGUUCAAGCGACCAACCGGGACCAAUGGUGGUGGGCCAGGAGCGAGGCCCAUUGGUCCCGGUUCGUCCCAUCAACUGGGACCAAAAGGUCCAGAUGAACCGGGACCAAUGGCCCACGUGGCCCGGCCGGCCCCCUGGGCUCACGAACCGGGACCAAUGACCAUAUUGGUCCCGGUUCUGGACUGAACCGGGACUAAUGGGCUGACCCGGCCUGGACCAAAGCCCUGUUUUCUACUAGUGUGUAAGAGCUUUGACUAUAAAAACUACCAGUCAUUCCCGUACAGAUUAUGAUGCCACACAUAAAAGAGUUAAAUUACCGGUAUAUAUUCACCUAAUUUACAAAUGAAAAAUAAACAAAUAGAGAAAAUCAUUUAGAUAUCAUAUAGCAAGGAAAAUAACAUUCAUAAUCACCUGCGUGACGUGUCAGACGAGUCAACAUCUGCCGAAGAACGCGCGGGAUUACUAGGUAUCUCCUCAGACAUGACACCCACACUUCUAGACCACGUUUGCUGAAGGUCGGCAACACUAAUAGAUGGAGCAUUCGAACCCCUGACAAGUUAUUAUUUUAAAAAGGAUAUAGUGCACAUGAGAAAAAUGUUACCAUAGACAAAUAACACAUGCUUACCAGCAUAUAACUACUAAAAUUAUCAUGCAAACAAAGUUAAACUACAUAUUGUUCAAAUAAAAAACUGAAGUUAUUAUCGUGAAAAUAGCUACUGAAAGUUAUCAGCCUUACCAUGAUAUAAUUACUAUCCUUUCUACAAAAAACACAAGCUUGAUAAGGAAUAGAAACUAUCCAGACAUAUUUACUUCUAAUUAUCAGAAGCUAGGUGCUAGGAAAAGUGAUAACACAAAAGAGUAACAACAAGUAAGUAUGUACACAAAGAAAAAUAAACAUGGACAUCACCAGCUUAUAAAACAUUAGUUACCAGCUUAUAUUAACAUUAGUUAUCAGAUUAUAUUUGCACACAACAGCUAAAAUAUAACAUUAGUUACCAGCUUAUAUUGACAGAAGUUACCAGCUAAGAAAUGCAAUAUAACAAUUGAAAAUAAAAAGAAAUCAACUAGCAGAUGAUAAGAAACUCACUUGCGAGGAUGUUGCUUCUUCCGCGUGGGAUUGGCAAUUACUGAGUUAAUGCCCUUAUCAGGGCCUACAAUGCCAAGCUCAUUGAUGUCUAUUGCCUUGAUAGAACAAUGUGUAUCAUCCAACGACGGCUGGUCAGAAACAGUUGUACCAGUGGCCAUGGGCGGAGAAGGUAGGCGUAAUUUCUUGCGACGCCUGGAAUAUUGCUUUUCCAAGUUACGGGCGAGAGAAGAACCGCACCUCUUCACAGAAGCAUCAACAACAGCCUCGUUUUGAGUAUCCGUCAUAUCUGGCUGGUUAUGCAAUCCAUCAGUAGAUACAUUCCCGGAACGUGCAUAAUCUGAGACUCGAGAGGUUGAUCAGUUCCUGCAGUAGCAGUUGUAUCAAUUCCGGCUGACCUUACCAACACAUUGGCAGUUGCAAACAUGGUUGCACCCACAUCUGCAUUCGCUGCGCCACUACCUGAAGCAUCAUGGGCAUUCGGUCCAGCACUACCCCCACUACCUGAAGCCUCAUGGGCGUUCGGUCCACCUGAAGAACCAUGUUAAUGAACGUGAAAAUCUAGAUCUUCGUCAGAGUGACCAUCACCGCCACCAUCACUAUCCUCAUGAUCAGAAUCUGAACCUUCGACAGUUGGCUUGCCGGUAUCUUUUACUUCACACAAGCGGGAUGCAGGACGGGUGCUUGCAGUCUUCCCGGCAGCAGAAGAUAAACCCUUUAGUUGGCUCUCUAACACAUGGGACAUCCAUGAGCUGUCUUCAUCAUCCAAGGACAUGAACUCAUUAACAAGACCACCCAGGAGGCCAACCAUGCCAGACGAAAAGCGACCCACAAUAGCAGAAGCUUUAGCAAGUUUCUGAUAGAAAAUCACGAAUGAAAAAACAAAUAAUCAGGUUGUGAGAGACAUUAAGUACCAUGCAAAAACAACUAAAAAUACCACAGAAAGAUAAGUUCAAAUGAAGUUAUUCCAAAGUGAGAAUCUAAAAAAUAAAAAAAAGUUACCAUCCUAAAAACAGUACAAGUUACCAGGUCUUUAUAACAAUAUUUACCAGGAAAAAGGAAAACAAAAAUACCCAAACGCACUAAAAAUAUUAAAAAUACCUGUACGGAACAGUUUUGCGGUGCAUGAACACGCAUGAAUUUAUCUAGACCUUGUAAACCACCAAACAAGCAAUAGUCUUGACCAUAUUGGGGCUUAAGCUGAAAAAAAUAUGAUAAAAAACAAAUUAAGAUCUUGAUAAAAAAGAUGGCAAUACAUAGAAGGUAAGAAAAAUGACGAAUGGGAAAUUACCGGUAAUUUCCCAUAAGAAAGCUUGUCCCUCUGGACAUCCAUCCGGAGAACUUUCGAUGCCAACUCAUUCGUCCACACAUUAAUUGCAAAAGGACCAUUAGGCAAGAUGAUACCAAGGCCAGUUAAGUCAAUAGCAUCUAUAUACGGAAGCUGGAAAAAUAGAAAAGGUCGUUAUAAUCUAACUGUUUGGCGGAAUAAGACGUACAAUCCAAAUAUCAUGGGAACAAAAAAAGAAAUGGGGGACUAACAUUGUAGAAUAGGAGGCAACCCGUCGUAGACUUUCCUUUUGAAAGGGCUUUGUGAAGCUGAUCCAUAAUAAAUUUGCACCAGUUGAGGUUUUUUACAUUGUCAAUAUUUUGCUGCGAAAAAAAAGAAAGCACAUGAAACAUAGAGGAAUGUAUGCACACAAGUUAGCAGGGGACAUAAGUAGAUACUUAUAACACUGUUAAAGCAUUGAAUCACCAAGUACAUAAGCACACAAUUACCACAUUAUUGAGAAGUAAGUCAAAAUUACCAUAUUGCAAGGCAUAAAUAAAUUAUUAGGUGCAUUACUAAAUAAUUACCAUACUUUCAGAAAAAGUUAUCAGGUGCAUUACUACGUAAUUACCACACCAUCAGAAAAAAGUUAUCACGUGCAUCACUAUGUAAUUACUACACCUUCAUAAAAAGUUAUCCGGUGCAUUACUAUAUAAUUACUACACCUUCAUGUAAAGUUAUCAGGUGCAUUACUACAUAAAUACCACACUUUAGAUCAUAGAAAAAUCAAAGGGAUAGAAGUUACCACACUCCAAAAAUCAGGGAAAGUUAUCAAAGUGCAUAUGUGCAUAAUCAUCAGACUAAGAAGCAAAAAAUUACCAGGUAGAAAAACAGAAAAAGAAAAGCGAUAAAAAUCAUGAACUAGAAAGAUAGCCAGAUGUUCUUACCAACACAUGAUACCAUCUGGUGCUGAUCUUGUUCGAAGUCGUCGGCGCCAUCACGGUGCUGGCAGCAAGCACAAGCCAUAAUCGCUUGAAAUUGUCGUCAUGACGGUUAGUGCUCAAGAUAAGGUUUAAUACAUCCACAGUUUUAGGAGCAUGUCCAAGAUCACCAAAAAGAUCUCCUGCAAGCUCAAGUUGUGCAUCUGUAGGAACCUUGAAAUCCACCGCAAUAUCACCUCGGGGCACACCCAUUAUACGAUGCACAGACUCUUCACUGACCGGUAACCUUCUGCGACCGGGUACAACAACCUCACGGGAAUCAGGGUCGUAUAGACCAGCAAGCCAUUGAGAAAGGCGAUUGAACAGAUUAUCACACUUGAUAUUCCGCAGACUAGUGAAAUCCAUGUCAUCGAUUGCGGCCAUUCUCUCAUCUGACAUAUCCUUACAGGCAGUCACAAGAGCACUAGGAGAAGCCCUAUUCCGAUCUGCGGGAGGCUUAUGCUUCUUUAAGGGGUUCACCUCCUCAAAGUCAUCAUCUAAUUUGCGCUUCCUUGGCAUCUUGACCAGACACACAAGAAUAACAAGAGAAAAAGUGAGCAUAAAGGAUGCAUAGCUGUUGAAUUAAUAGUCACACACCUAUUCUUAUGAUACAUUGGUAACUUGUGAACAUACAACAAGAUAACUCAUCCACAACAGAGAAGGACGAAAAAAGGGGACAUGUCUGCUUCUACUAGAUAUUGAAUACCUGAUUUUUUUUCUUACGAUACACCGAUAAAAUGUAUGUAUCAGGCAAGAUAACUUAAGCAAAAUAGGGAUGGCAUCAACUUACACACAAACACAUAUAUUGGACAUCACAUCACUAACUAUUAAAAAAUCAGUGACAUGAUAAAAUUUACAGGUGACUCCUGAUAAAUUAUUCACACCACUAAUGGUAAUAUUCACGAUUAAAGUUCAGGUAAGUUAAAUGAUGGCACAUCCAUCAGUUAGAAACACAAAAAUGCAUCAUGAAAAGAGACACCACUGAUAGUGCUAGAACAAACAAUCCAUCAUGACAACCUAAACACAAAACGAGAUGAACUACAUAUAAAACACAAAAACAGUAUGGGAUUAUCACCAGCAACCUAAUUAUACAGGUGGUAAUUCAAUUCCUUCACUGCAACCAUAAGAGCAUGAUAAAACUGAGCCCACCAUAGAUACAGAGUGAGGAGAGUCGUUGUAAAAUCCCCGCACCAAACCCUACCGGCGACCAAAAUAACGGCAGAAAUCAUCAUAGGAUAACGCCGUCGAAUCAUGAACGGAAACAUAAUGGUUAUGCAUCUAGAGAAAACCCUAGAAAUCAGGAUCGAGCCGUGUAACANNNNNNNNNNNNNNNNNNNNNNNNNNNNNNNNNNNNNNNNNNNNNNNNNNNNNNNNNNNNNNNNNNNNNNNNNNNNNNNNNNNNNNNNNNNNNNNNNNNNNNNNNNNNNNNNNNNNNNNNNNNNNNNNNNNNNNNNNNNNNNNNNNNNNNNNNNNNNNNNNNNNNNNNNNNNNNNNNNNNNNNNNNNNNNNNNNNNNNNNNNNNNNNNNNNNNNNNNNNNNNNNNNNNNNNNNNNNNNNNNNNNNNNNNNNGGCAACUACCCACGAAAUUGAAAACGACAAAUUAAGCACUAAAACGAUGUGCAUGCGAAACAGAGGCUAACAAAUAGCAAAUGCACCACAAAUUGAACGUAUUGGGCGCAUUCCUCGUCUGUUCUAACCUGCGACCAAUCUGACGAACAUCCCGCCACUAACGGCGUCGAGAAACAAAGCACGGACUAGUGGGGCGGAUGCGAGGGGGAUUGAGCGAUACUCACCGGUGGAACAGAAAACUGCCUCCGAGAAUCGGCCGGAGAAGGCGCCACCGCUCGCCGUCGACGGAGAGAGAGCAGGGGUGGAGCGGCCGAGAAACACAGUGCGGAGCAGCGGACGGUUCGAGCGAGCGGACGUGCAGCGGUGGCCCACACAGCAGCGAGAGAAAAAAAGAAACGGCUUGCUGGAAUGAGUAGCGCACGUUGGAUUCAAAUUGACGGCAUCCAAGUGGUGUGGCGUUUUUGCAAUCUAUCACAGGUGUGCUAAAUACAUUUUUCGAUUUUUGUUACCUGUGCCAUGCAGGUGUGACGGUAUGCUUAUAUAUUAGUGGACAAUAUAUAACUGCAUUUUCUCGGACAAGAAAAAAAAGGUGAUCUCUCACGAUCAGCUGCGAGCAGUCGACGUCACCGGAAUUAAAUGCCGCACCAACAAGCAAGAAUCGGUUAAGACAUGCCUGUUUCCCGGUUCAAUCUGCUCGCGUUUUCUCCAUCCUUUUUUUCAGAUUGGUUUGAACGCAUCACACCAAGUACAUACACAUAUCCAGUAUCCGAAUUGUCCGUAUCGGGCCAGAGCCAUCGAUGGAGGACCCGGCCGCAAGCUAGCAACAGUUCCGGCAAUGAAUCGUCUUGAAUAAUCUUGAUCAAACAUCCAGAUUAACAACAGUAUCGGAUUAGCGGUGCCAUUAUAUCCCUAGACAGAAUGAUUAGCAAUACAGUGCAGUGAACCAAUUCUUCAUAUUUUCUCUCGUGCUGUGCAUAUAGUAGUACAAGCACUGUUUGUAUUUGCUCAGCAGUGCCACUCGUCCAAUGUAGACGGACGUUAGAUUGUUUCUAAGUACAAUGACGACGUGGACGGUGGACGUUGCCAUUGAUACGCUAAUUUAUCACCAGCUGCUGAUUAACAUCAUCGCUUAGCUGACCACAGCCAGCCGAGCUAGUAAACUCUCGAACAGUGGCAAAGCUCGCAUCAUCCAAGUCCAGUCCAUAACUAUGUACAGCGCCGUUGAACUGAAAACAAUCACAUCUUUCCCUCUCAAUGUACCACUCCGUCUCCGCAAAAAUCUCGAAGUUGCCGCGAGCCAUAAGUUGUUGCUUGCUUACGUACGUGGUGUAACCAUGGACGGGUUUUUGAUGCGCGAUCGAUCGAUCGAGAAAGCGUGACGGCGGCGUCCAUCGACCUCCGCCCAUGCCGGCGUCCAUCAGCUGUCCGCCUCCGGCGCCGCCGCUACAGCCACCCGGCCGGUGCGCCGUAGGAGCACACGCACGCGCCGUAGCUUUCGUCGGACCGCGUCUCCGUGGUACGUGGCCCUACGAUGUUAGAUUAGAUUCCUGAUUAUCCCGAUCCCGGCUCGGCCUGUACACGGAUGUGUCCCUUGUUGAUGGGCACGCAUGAGAGCUAGGAAUGUGUCCACAUCGAAAUUACUGUCUUUCGAGAUACUCCCUCCGUCCCAUAAUAUAAGACUUUUUUGGCACUACACUAGUGUCAAACAACAUCUUACAUUAUGGGAUAGAGGGAGUAUUUUUUUUAAAGAGCUGACUUAUUUGGCAAAUGUUGCAGACAGCAAGCAGGAAUUUAGCCAUGAUUUUGAUUUACGGAAGCCCCUGGAACGGCAUUUGCUUAAUGCACAGAAUAUUGAAUGUUUGAGCACUCAAGAUGUAGACACUCUGAGUGACCUCCAGAAUCGUUCUUCUGCUUUCUUAUCCAAACAUCAAAGGUGAGGUUGAUUCCUGGAUGGCUGGAUCUAUGGUCGAGAUUGUUGUUCUUGAGGAAUGUCAUCCAAAGGCUGCAGUACCUUGUUAUCACAGAUUAAUGUAGCUCAAGCCUCAAGAUGACGUUUAUUGUUUAGUAACCACAAAAUUAGAGUUGUAUUAGAUCUGAUGCAUUUUGAAUUAGAUGACUGUGAUGCAUUUUGCCGUAUUGCUUGUGAAUCUCUUGUAUUUUCUCCAUUCAGGAAAGAUGGUGGAAAUCUGAAUGCUGGACGCAUUGCUAUACAGUCUCUCUGUGCACCACAGUGUGGAAAUUUUGAGAAGGCAAGUACUCCCUCCGUCCCGAAUUAGUUUCUUAGAUUUGUCUAGAUAGAUACAUCCGUGUCUAGACAAAUCUUAGACAAGUAAUUUGGGACGGAGGUAAUAUUUGCUUGAAAUGAUGUAUGCUGACUGGUCGAAAUGAUGCAGCUCACUGAAUUUUUUUUAGCUUCCUCCCUUUCAAAUCAUUCUCUGACAUAGUAAACUGUUUAUGCAUUGCAGGACUGGGACAUGGUCUCGUUUCUCAGAUCACUGAAGGCCAUGGUGCGCUCAUCUAAUGCCGUUGCCAUUAUAACAUUUCCAUACACAGUCCUAUCAGAUUCUUUCUGCAAGAGAUGGCAGCACCUAGCAGAUACACUGCUGUCAAUAAAAGCAAUCCCAGGCAAGCCUCAUACUUCGAAAUAUGUUUUCCUGUUUGCCACUUCGACUGCCGAUCCUAAAGCCUGAUUGUCCAUCACCUUGAUCAUUAGACGAGGACAAGGACUUGGCGAAACUCCUCACAGGGUAUCAGGAUAUGGUUGGUUUUCUGCAUGUUCAUAAGGUGGCACAGACCAACAGCCAGGUACCCACCAAAGUAAACAUAGGCUCAUAGCUGCUGUAAACAAAACUUGCGCUCUUCUGUUUUGACGACGCCAUUUACAUCGAUACGCAGGUUCCUGUGAUAUUAGAGGCCUCCACAUUUUCUCUGAAGCUGCGAAAGAGGAGGUCGCUGGUGUUAGGACGGCUGAAUCAGGCCACGGUAGACGGGUCGAGCGGGCCCUCGUCUGGUGGAUCAGGCAGUUGCUCCUCGUCGACGCAAGGCUCACAGCUCGAUUUCUAAUUGGGACUACUGGAGCUUCCCUUGGAGAAUAGAGGGUAGCAUCCGCUUUUCUUCAUCUUAUUAGGAUACUUGAAACAGGAAGUAUAGCUCAGAAAGGCUCCUGGUUGCUACGGAGGGAGUAGCUCAGAAAGGCUCCUGGUUGCUGUGUGUAUUUGUUACUAAAAAUGCAACUUUUAGAGGUUUUAUUUUGGUUUUGCAAUGGAUCAUUCAGUUGCUGAUACCCUUUCAGCACGUAUACCUGUAUUUUAAAAGAUUUUCCACUAGUCGGUGAUUACCCGAGGAUGACAAUUUUUGUUGGAGGACGGCGGCGGCAUGCUCUCCGUUCGACGUUCAUCGACGGUAGCUUUCGAAUCACCGCGUUCUUUUGCUUUCUUGAAUCUUACGGGUUCGGAACCCAAGAACCNNNNNNNNNNNNNNNNNNNNNNNNNNNNNNNNNNNNNNNNNNNNNNNNNNNNNNNNNNNNNNNNNNNNNNNNNNNNNNNNNNNNNNNNNNNNNNNNNNNNNNNNNNNNNNNNNNNNNNNNNNNNNNNNNNNNNNNNNNNNNNNNNNNNNNNNNNNNNNNNNNNNNNNNNNNNNNNNNNNNNNNNNNNNNNNNNNNNNNNNNNNNNNNNNNNNNNNNNNNNNNNNNNNNNNNNNNNNNNNNNNNNNNNNNNNNNNNNNNNNNNNNNNNNNNNNNNNNNNNNNNNNNNNNNNNNNNNNNNNNNNNNNNNNNNNNNNNNNNNNNNNNNNNCUGGGCGACUCGGGUGGCGACUAGGGUUCCCCCCAAGCCGCCACCCCCUUUUCCCCGUUCUCCCUCGCCGCCACUUGAGGGUCUCGCCCGAAUAUUGCCCGCGGACGCCGGGGAAGGUGGCGGCGAGGCAUCUGACGCUUCGUCCAUGGCGGAGGUCUUCGGAUCUGGGGCGGCGGCCCUGUUUGGCGAGGCAGCGGCGUCCUCUCGGCUGGCGCCGGCUGCGGGUGAUUCUGGCCGGAUUGCUCGACCACGCGGGUGGUGAGCCGCCGGCGGGGGCUGGCUGCGGCGCGGAGUUUUCCCCUCCUCGCCGGAUCUGAGGUUUGGCUCCCUCCUCCUUGACUCCCUCUGGCCGUCCCCUGCUGCUUGCGUCUCGUGCGCUGGAUCUGGAGAUGAUGUGUGCUCGGUGGUGAGGCUUGGGACUACGGGAAACCGUUUGGUUGGCUUGUCCGGCCCGGCGGCAGCGACGCCUUUGGCGCCGUUCUUCCUCCCUGGAGGUGCCGCCGAGGUCCUCCCCUCUCCACCCUCGUUCCCCCUCCUGGGUGAAAGCCCAAAAUCCGGCUAGGAUUGGGCGGCAACGGCGCGUUUCGUGUCGUGCUCCUCCUUGGAGGUGCCGCCUGGGGAGGGCUCGUGUUCGGGUGAGGUGUGUCAAAGGUCCGAGCUUUGGGCGGCUCUAGUUGUCUGGCGGCGGCGGUUUCGUCGGGAUUUGCUUGGCCGACAUUGUCCCCGUUCCCCUCAAGGGCGGCGCCCACUGGGUGUGGCGUGUUUGGCUCAAGGCUGGCGGUACGGCGCCUUCGAUCCGGCGGUAGGGGAUAGGGUUCCCCUUCCCAGCAUUAGCAACACGGCCCCGGCGGUGGGCUCCCGGUGCUCUUCUUCAACGGCCGACGGGUCUUGCUCCUCGACGUUCUGCGGUCUUCCUUGAUGUCCUUGCCACCCUUCUUCAGCAGCUGCUCCCGGUGGAUUUCCGUCAGUCUACCGGUGUCCUUGGUUGCGGCGGUAUAGUGGAUGUUGUGUGCUCAUUGUCCAUGGUGGUGUGCUCUGCGGUUGCUCCUGGCUCUGAGGUUGCCAUCGCUUCUGCUCUAGGGUGAGCGCUUCUCAGGUCCGCUGGUUCGAUGCCUUUCGAUCCAAGGCGAGAGGGAAGGGUCCCUCUGCGGCGCGAGAGGAGGAAGACGCCUGGUUUUCUUCAUCCUGCGAGUCAGCCUAGUUCAUGCCCACACUCUGUUCUAGCAGGUCUUCAUCCUGCUCUGCCAGUCGCUACCUUUGUUAUCAGUUUUGCUGCUGUCUUCGGCUAGUACAAGCUAUGGGCUCGGUUGUAUUUUCCUUUCGUGCUUGUGCGCUGCGUUGAGUUGUAAGCUUUCUAGAGUGCUCUCUUGUAUCAUUGGGCCGAUGUGGUUUGGUGUAUGUUUGUAAUUCCUGGCCGGUUGAUGGCUUUGUUAAUUCAAAGCCGGGCUCUUCGCGAGCCUUCGUUCUAAAAAAAGAUCUUACGGGUUCAUUUACAUGCGAUUACAAGGAUGGCACCGGCACCACCGCAUGAACAUGCUUACCGGACGCAUCCACUAACGACAUGCUAAGAAAAUUGAAAAAACAUAGAUAACACAACGUUGCCAUCCGAAAAAAUGAGUAAACACUAAAAAAAACCUAAAACUUAAUGUCCAAAUAGAAAGUUGUCAUGCUUCAUAAAUAAAAUUAUCAUCCUCGGGUAACUAAACCUGUCGUUAAAAAAGGUCAGUGCGGAAUUGCUUCAUGUCAUACGUGUGGCACUUAUCAGUGUCCUAAAACUAUGUUAUUGUAGUAUUUAUCGAGCUAGAAUUCUCGGUCUACUUAUAGUCGGAUUCAAGACGCACAGUAGGAAACCACAUCAGCUUUUUUUUACUCUUGCUGGACUACAGUAACUAUGAAGAUAAAUGUAUGUUGAGGGUUGCUGAUGGAUUCUUCCUAAAAGUUUGGACGGCUCCAACAAUGUUGGGGACGAAUAACGCACAUCCCAUCGUGCCAUCCUGCUAUAUUGUCUCUGUCCAAAUUAACCCCACCAUUUCGUCCACUGAAAACAGGAGGCACGUACCACGUACGGUGUGGUGUCACAUGCCACUGCCAUCGGUCAAAAUCAAUCCGGACUUAAUUAGCUCGGUGUGGUGGCACAUGCCAUCGGUCAAAUCAGUCCGGCCAAGCUAACAAGCUAGCUGCAUUCUCGGUCGAACCAACCACGUGUCUUCGAGCAGCCCACCCAACAUGGACAUGGGAAUGGUGUGAUACAUCCAUUCGCCCUACGCUCUGCGCGCGGUACAGCGUACAGUGGAGUGGCGGUAGAUAGGCGAUUAACUCCGGUCGUCGGUCGUCGUCUCGAUCCAUAGAUUCGUUUCGUUCAGAGUUCAGACACGGGCACGGAGGACGGCACAUUUAUGUCCUGGCGACCCAAAGCCGAGCCCGUCUCCUUCCUUUGGCAGCGCCACCGGUUUUAACUUAACCUCACGUGCACAGUUGCAUCUUUCCGGGACGACCGUAUAGUAUAGGAGAUGCAUGCCCAGUGGUUGACCUGACCGGGUGGUUCCGAGGCUCGCCAACGAACAGACUGAACUAAAUUGAACCGCUCCAGCGACGAGCAGUGUAGUUAUUGUGAGGUGUUACGGUGGCCGGGGGCAGCACGUAGGGCCUCUACUCUACCAUGCAUGUCAGCGAGAUUCCUCGGUUCUGGUUCGUUCGGUAUUAUGCCCGGCAGCUGUAGCGGCGACUGAUCGGUGCAAGCGGUGCAGCGGCGCCGGCAUGGGCGAGCUGCAGCCUGUAGACGCGACGAUGUUGGGACAUUCAUGGCCGCCCGGAUAUAUACAACGCUCAUCAACUGCCGUGGCGAACGAUCCAUGCGGCGUUGCUUCGGGACGAUUAUCUAUCUGGCACGAGACGGCGCGUGUAGGUGUAGCCAGGUCAACGCGCGGGAAAGGGGGUCAGCCGGGUUUUUCUGGUGGAACACUGACCUGACCUGACCUGCCUGCAUGCAUGGGCACCUUGGCCACCGCCACCGCCCCGUUGUCCCUCGAUCAUGUCCUGCGUAGAGUUCCUGUGGAAUUUUUUAAUUUUUCUUUUUUGAAAUUUGAGGUAGAACGAGCAAAUGUACUGAUCAUCUCCAUGUUACCAAAAGCCCAGAACAUAAACUCAGAUCUCAUUGUCCAAUCGCUGGCGCACAACUGGUGGAUCUGCAACUACCGCCGCCACCGCCUUGCUAUGGAUUGGUCGGAUACCGAACCGCACUGCCCCGGCAACGCCUCCGCGCCACAUGCGGGCAUUGAAUCCGCCUUUAGCCGCUCAGAUCUCUCCCGACGGCAGUUCGCCUGCAAAGACACGUCCGGCUGUCACCCGGGCUCGGCGCUAGCCUAGCGGCUCGUCAGCUCACUGUUGGCGAUUAUGAAGUGCGACAACUGCCCGUAGCAGGUGGUGGCACCGAGUUUCUACCACGCCGGAACAUUCCAGAUGGAUGUUCUCCAAGAGCAAAAUAGAUGGAAUAUGUGCUUAUUUUGAUUCAGUUGUUCACCGGGUUCGGUGCAAUUUUGGUAGCUCAUUAUUUGCUCAAAUUUAUUUGUAGGAUGGAUGCAAGUUUUGGUAUUGCAAAGAUAAUUACAUCGAUCUAUUGAAAUUUGAUAGAUGCUCGUGCACUCGUUGCUACAAUAGAGGCUAGAGAUGAGAUUAGAUGCGAACCAACGUCGAAGUCUUCGGAAUGAAGAAGAAAAAAGUGUGCAUGCUUGAGAAGCCAAUAAAGAGAAUCAACAAUGAAGCCAUAGAGAAUAUAUUAAUCUAACUAGUGGGAGCAAUUAUGAAAGUUGGAUAUCUAUUAAAAUGUUUAAUUGUGGUUCUUGUUUUUUUAUCUUGCUCUCAUAGCAAAGAAUUGGUGAAUUAUAUACUCCAAUGUGUAAAAUUGCCGUUGAAUGAGAUAAAGAAGCAAAAAAUGUGUUUCGGUGACGGAAAAUGAAAUGCAAAUGAUUUUUUUUACUCCAUUAGAUACAAGGGGUUGGUUAGGUCCGACCAAAAUUUAGUGGAGUAAAAAACACUCCACUAAGGGUUUACUCUGCCAAAUACUCCAUUAUUUUCAGGGGUCGAUUAGAAAUGUCCUAAGGUUAAGUCUGUGAUGUAUUUACCUCAUUUGGUAGAAAAUUCUCGAAAAUAUAAUAUGUUAGUAGCAAGUUUGUUCCCGUUUUACCUCUUAAAUAUUUUGCCCCAUCCCAUCAAGUGGGCCCCAUUGUCUGCUCAAUGGGGUAAAGUGUGACAAACUCUGUCUUUGGGAGUGAAGACUGAAGAGUGAGUAUAUGGGUACCGUGUACUACCAGGUUCACUAGUAUAUAGUACUACAGAAUACGCUUUACAAAGUUAUUGAUGGUCUCUUGAUAACAGUCACAAGCACUCGGCCGAGGAGAUACUAAAGGGAAAGAUGUUAUUGAUCAGUAUUACCAGUGUAACAUUGCGUCCAUCCCAAAACCAGCCCUGUGUUGGAUGCCACCACCUCGUGAAAGAAAGGGCAUUAUCCGUUGAUGGUUCCUUCUCGGCUGCGGAUGGUAUGGCGGUGGCAGGUAUGAUCUUACAGAGGUUUGAUGAGAGUGUUAUUUUGCGGCAUACAAAUUCUUAUUUCAUUGCAAUGAUGCACUUGAGGCCAAAAUCCACGCGCUAAUCCAAGAUAUGGCUCUUGCAAUUCAACUUACGGAGCUGCCGGUUAUUGUUCAGUUUAACUCGUCGAUGGCUCUUCCAACACUUGUUGAUGACUACGUAGACCGUUCUGCUUACGGUCAAUUAGCUUUCGAGACUAAAGCUCUUAUGAUUGAUAAGGAGGAUGACCCCCGACCUUUGCAUCUGGGCGAUGCAUAUGUUCAUUUUAUCAAUUAUUCUUAUAAGACCUUACAAAUUCAUACAACAGCAAGACAAAAGUCACCGUCUAAACAACAAAUGUCGCUACACCUAUCCAAUUGAUGAAGGGGUGCUGAUAGUCUGGGCCUAAUACCAAACAGACAUCGUAGCCAAACCUAAACAUCUAAGACCUGAGGUCCCAACCAGGACGCAUGCCUGUUAUGGGGCACCUACUAGUCCGGCGCACUCCUCAACCAGAACGGCUGCCGGGUAUGAGGCCGCCGCAGCCACCUGCCACGAGUCCAUCUUCAAAGCUGUACUGUUGCAUCUACCGUACUAGGUCUCUCUGCCACCGACGCCACCACGACGCCAGACAGCGUCAUCCUCCUGCGCGAGUCCAUCCUCCCACAUCGAACUCCGAAUCUGCACUGCGCCACGCCGUCAAGAUCCGUCGCUAUCAAUGUAUGGAUGAAGCACCGCUCCACCAAAGAAACCGUCUGCUGGCCCGCGAAGCAAGGCGCAGCACCAAGUAGAAGGCCGAAGUCGCACCGCCACCACGCCACCAGCAGCCCCGCCACCAAGAGUUGUUCCCAGCCACCGAGGAACACGACACCAGGGUGCCGUCGACGCCCAGAGGAGGGGAACAAAAGCUUUCGCCGUAGCUCGAGAAGGAGGCGGAAGGGAGAGAAUCCACCCCAAAGCCUCCAGGAAGGGGAUCGGCACCAAAGGCGUCGACUUUGGGGAGGCCGCCGCGCCAGCCAGGGGUUUCCCCCAGAACGUCACCCGCAUGCCAGAUCCGCCAGGCCGACAAUAGGGGUCGCCGAAAGCAGCCGCCAAGGACUGGCGCCAGUACGGAUCGGGACAGAUCGGAGCAGGGUCGGAUCUUCUACAUGGAGCCAUGACGGAUUGCGAGGAGCCGCCACUGCGCCAGCGUCAGCAGCCCCACGCCGCCCGCACGGCCGUAGGAGGCUGCCCACCAGAUCCCGCCGGCUGCACCGCGUCCACCAACCGGGGCCGCCGCCCCGGGGAGCCAAGGCCCUCCAACGGAGAGGAGGCGCCAGAUCCCGCCGCCACCAUCAUUGGGGCCGAGCACCAAAGCCUCGGAGGCCCUCAGGCAGCAGCGGAGGGAGGGGAGGAGAGGUGGAGACGUGGCGACGGUGCUAGGAUUGGCCCCCGAGUCGCCUCAGAGGAGGCGACGAGAGAUUGCUUCACAUAAAUUACAUUCUGAUCAAAAUAGAGUGGUUGAUUGUUUGAUAAGGUAUAGUCGCUCUGAAAGUAGCACAAUUGUGUGGUUAUUAGAGGGCCCCAAUGUAUGGAGGAACUCUUGCCUCUUGACUGUAACUCUAUGAUUCUGGAACCAAAUUCAUUUUCUCACAAAAAAAGAAAAGAAUGCACACAUUCCCCCCACCUUGAAGAAAUAUGGGCAUUCUUUCUCUACUACUUAAAAAGAACGUAAGGUUUUCAUUUCACCUCUCCUUCGUACAACCUUGCUUACAUAUGCCCCCUCCCCCCUCCUUCUUCUUUGAUUUUUUUCUUCCAUUAAUUUUCCAAAAAAUAUAAUCAAUUAUCUCACGUUUUAUACUUUUAUGAACUUAUCAAAAUAAAAACAUAUUUUCUUUGGUAGUCAAUAAAAUCUUACCAGAUUUGAACUCAUCAAUAUAAUAAUAGACAUACAUUCACGGGCUAAUUUAUUAGAAUGAAUGUUUGUAUUCCCGUUGCAAUGCAUAGACAAUUAUCUAGUUAAAAAAAGAGAAGGGCACUGUUUUUGUGAGCAUCGCCCAGCUGCAGCUGCCUGCUGGCUAGCAUGUGUCCCGCGGACGGGCAUCGUUGCGAGCAUCGACCAAAAGCGCAGGCUAGCCCGUAGACGCACUCCAUCGGCCGCUACGCAGUCGUACGUUGCGUUGGUUCUACAGACCAAAAAAAAAAA